RNAcentral lists this long non-coding RNA (81532 nucleotides) under Sorghum bicolor (sorghum). Its description in RNAcentral is "long non-coding RNA (SBIC_LNC008335)". The stretch from base 5597 to 5703 matches the Rfam family "Plant small nucleolar RNA R71". The record is from RNAcentral. Lineage: Eukaryota; Viridiplantae; Streptophyta; Magnoliopsida; Poales; Poaceae.
AUUUGGAUCCUUUUCUUUGUUUAUUUGAUAAUUAAAUUUGAUACUUAAGGACCGUCAACAAACUCCCCCAAGCUUACCUCUUGCUCGUCCCUGAGCAAGGAUAGACUCAGCGAUGGAUUAGAAGUUGUUGCAAUAUCUUUAAAAAUUGACGGUACACAUGCUUUUUAAAUAAGAUCUCAUCUCUGAGUUAGAGUAAACUGUCAAGACUUAAAACUUACUUACUUUACCUUCACCAUGGGACUUGUAACCGUCACUUCCAUCUUGAGUAGUUAAAAGAUAGAAUAGUCUAGUCAAGUGCCAUGUCUCUUAUUCUUGAUCAGCUAUAGCUCUGGAGUUUUUGCAGAUUUUCAAAUAAAACUCAGAGAUUCCUUGUAUGAUUCUUUCAGAUCUCUCUUUUGUGGUAUUUCUGGAUCCUUACCAAGGCAGUGAUGGUAUAUGCCUUCUCUCAAGAUAUGUAGUAUUUGUGGUAUAAGACAUAGUGAAAUUGCCUUUUCUCUCACCCUACUCAAAUAAGGCUUUAAUAUCUGGGGCUCAUAGGUGGGAGAUAAAGUAUACAUACUUACAAGACAUUUAUUGCAUAGUCAAACCAUGGAUCCAAAGAAACAAAUCAAUAAGUCAAAUCAAGAUGUGCAUGUGUGGCGAAUGAAUGGUGUAUGGUGAUGAUGGUGAUAACAAUGGUGAAAGCCUAAUUCUACUUUUGCUCAUUUGAGGGGAUACAUACCUUCCUUGCUUUUUGAAACUUUAUGAGGAGAAUGAGAUUCUCUUCUUUUUUUGUUUUUCUUUCCUCUCAGGUGGGUAUCUUGUACCCCUAAUUCUACUGUCGGACACUUGUCCAUUUUUGCCGCUCGUCUCACUUUUUCUUUUCUUUCGAGGUUCCGGGCACUUGCCCCUUUUAUUUCCUCGUAUUUAUUUUUUUUAGAGCACUCAUCUCUUGAGAUAAUAUAGCAAGUGGUAGUAACAAGAUAACUUGAGCAUUUAUUUCACAAGGAAAAAUAGAAAUAUUUUUGGCUAUUCUCUCCCGGAUUAGGAGUAGAAUAUUUUUAGGUGAUUCUGGAGAUGGAAAUGAAUGGAUAUAUGUGGAUGGUACUUCUAGAGUAGAAGUAGCAUAUAUGAGUGAACAUGCAAGUGAAUUUUGAUUUUAACCACAUGACAAGCUCCUAAGGGUCUACACAGCUUGACCACACUCAAUGCUCAUAAGCAGUAAAAAAGGUAAAUGUAUGGUUCAUAGUCUAAUAAGCAUGUAUAUAUGGCUGUGGUAGGAUUUUAAACUCUCAUCAUACAAGAACUCAUCAUGCAACAUUUUAAAUAUUUUCAAAGAUAAAAAUCUUCAGAAUUCUAGCAUCUCUAGGAACAGAUAAACAGCAGCUCAACCUUCGCAUAUCGUAUCCGUUAACAACUUAGACUUCAGAUCAAGUUUUCAUCCCACAAGUUUAGGUCUAGAGCAAGCUUUAAAUUAUAACAGUUAUGUCAAACUUGAGAGAGAACUUAAAAUGUGCAAAUUAGGCAGAGCAACUAUUCAUCAUAUCCAAGCUUGAGUUUUAUUUAGAUACAUAUUAGCAUAGCCACUUUAUUUAUUUAUUAAACACACUAAGCAAAUGAUAUAUAUAUAAGCAUAAAAUCUUUAUUUGGUUUUUCCUAGUUUAUGUAUAUUUAUAUUCUAAAAUAGUAUAAGUAUAAAGAUAGAUAGAUAGAAAUACUUAUCGGGAUAGAUGGGGGUGCUCUCCCCCAAGCUCAAUUUUGACGUAAUUUCUCUUGAUGUAGCUAGCAGGUGGCUGAGGUGCAUUCUGACAGCGAUUAGAAUGUCCUCCGUCUGCUAGUCUUCUUGAUUCUUAAAUUCUGUGGAGCUCAAACAGACAACAAAGCUUGUGGAACUGAUUAAGUGUUAGCAUAAAUAUCUAGCCUUUAUCAUGUUGAGACUCCUUAAUAAUUGUUACUCCUUGUUUUUAUAUUUUUAUUUUAUAAAGGAGAAAUGAUAUAUUUAUUUUAUUUUUAUGCCACCACAGUGAAUGUACUUAUGGGUUUUAUGCCACUCGUAUACUCACAUGGCACUUUGUAUUUUUCACAUUUUUAUUUUCUUUUUAAGAUAGUAUGAAGAUGAUUCACUAAGUAGACUAUUUUAAAAUAAUUGAAAGGGAAAGGAUAACUACCAAGUUUACCUCUUGGCAAGGCGUUCGGUGUUUUUAAGUCCUUCGAACAGGACUCUCCAUUUUCUCAAUUGUCCUAGGAUUCGUUGGGUGGCGUAGUCGGUACUUCCGGCGGCGCCUCCUCUUCAUGUAUAGUUAUCUUCUCUUUCCAUACCUGACUCGGUGCUUCGGUCUCCUCAGGAUAAUUCUGUUUAAACUCUACGUCUUCUGACCUUACAACUUCUCCUUCGUAGUCUGCCCAUCCGUCCUUGAUGAUCUGCCUCCUCUGGUUGCGGUUGCAUCGCUUUGUUACCUACUUAGAUUCUUCAACAAUAUAGUUAGGGUAAAUAAAAUAACGGCUGUUGACGGUGGAUAUACCAUAGAAAUCCACAUACAAAACACCGUCAACAUGCCUCGGUUGCAAGGGGAAACGACAUGACAUGAACAUAUUUUAUCCAUAACUAGUUCCACUUGUACUCUUAGCUUGUUUAUGCAGGAACAACAAAUUCAAGACAUUAUUUGACAAAGCCAACAUCAGAAUCAUCAAGAGGAGAUCGAGGGGACAACAGGUGACACCCUGGGCCCACAGGGGGGGGGUCGCCCGACCCCUCUUUGGUGGGACCCAGGUGUGCCACCUAGUCCACCGACAUAAGGGACCCCUGUGGACACUGCUGGUGGGCCCAGAGGCCCAGAAGUGGGGUCGCCCGACCCCACAUCAAAGGCGGUUCCAGGGUCGGUGGCCUCCCACCGACCUUCCCCACAUGUCCCACAUGUUGAUUUGCCCCUGCCGUUGAUCAAAUGGUGGUUGUGAGGUCGGUUUGAUCCAAGGGUGGAGAGAAGAUGUCACGCGGAUCGAUGACGUGGCGAUGGAGUAACCCCUACUCCAUCUCCCUCUAUAAAAGGCAGCCUCCAUCCUUCAUUUUAAGUGUGCAAUUCCAAGGCCAAGUGCAUUACAAGUUCCAAGCAUACAAGUAGAGUAGUAGUUAGUCUAGAGUGGGAGUUAGAGUCGAGUCGAGCGAAGCUCGGGGUCUCCGGAGUCGUCUUCUGGAGAGUCUGGUAUAGCUCCUGUACCUUUCUACUUUUGUAAGACUUUCCUUUUAUUAAUAUAUUAUUCUUACUUUACUUUACUGAGUUCUUACUUAGUGCAAGUCUUUUAGUCUUGUUGUGCAUUUACUUUAGUAAUAUAGUUGUCUUAGUGAAGUUAGUGACCUGUAACCACUCCUGUGUGUGCAUCAUCGUCCUAUCUUGUAUAGGAGCUCUAGCUAGCUGCAACUAGUUAGCGUUGUAGGAUUAAGUGUGAGCGUGGUGCUCAUACUUAAGAUUACCUUUGAUUACCGCUGGCUUGAACGGAAAGUAGGAGCGCACUCCCUAGUAGGUGACAGAUCGUGGGCGGCAUUAGGUUCUCCUCACGUACAGGCUAGUUCUUAAAAGGUAAGGCGUCCAUAAGCCCAAUAGUCGCUUUCGGUAAGGGGUUAGGUGAAAAACCUUCUAAGCGUCUUACCAGCUCGGCUAUCCCUCGCACACAGUUAGUAAGGCUCUAUCGUAGUUAAGACAAUUAUCUAUUAAAGUAAGUCACAGAAGUCAAGUUAGAUACAUAGGAGUCCUUUACUCACUCGUUGUCCUCCCACCUAGCUAACUCUACCAUUUACCUUUAGCAUAGGACCUUGGAUUCACCACUACCCUUCCUAUUCGUUAUUUACCACCCUUAUUCACUAGUUGAUACUAGAUAACUCAAGGAAUCUCAUUCCCCUUUUUGUUAAACACACUUAGCCGCUUUCCCUUGGGAAAAUAUAAAUUACGAUACCUUGGAAUACUCCUUGGUGAAGUGCUACAGCGGUACAUUCUGUGCGCUUGCGGAAUUAUCCAAUAGUAAAUAGAGUUACCCUACCAGGGCACUUCUGGCGCCGUCGCCGAUAUCCGGUGGUUGCGUUAAGAAGUGUCAACAACGGUGUACCUUCUCUGAGGGGAAGUGCAUAUGGACUUCUCCGGUUCCAAUGUAGAUGAUUGCUUUAACGGUGACGUCAGAUCUGGUGUCUUAGAGUGUCUUCUGAAAAGAGUAUGCGUUGAUUGUGCACUCGACGCUUGGAACACCAGGGUCGUCAUUCUUGGUCAAAAACGGUGACUUAAGUUGAUGAUCUUGGCCUCCAUGAACUGCAGUGACCAUCUUAGCUAACUCGGUCCACACUUGCUUGUUCUUGUUCCUCCUGUUUGUCCUCUUCCUUGAUUCACAUCUAGAUUGAUCUGGGAUUUGUGUAGUCUUGUUCUUGAAGAAAAAUGUCUCCUUCCUCCCUUUGAUGUAGAAACUGAUCUUGGCAGCACUGGCGUAGAUGAUAGCUCCCGAGGUGUUUAAGAAUGGCCUCCCUAAGAUGAUGGGUGCCCUCUCAUCAUUUCCGGUCUCUACCACUACGAAGUCUGCUGGGGCGUACAAGGUACCAACUCGGACACAGAGGUUCUUCAAUAUUCCCUUGGGGCAAGUUAUCGUCUGAUCUGCAAACUGCAAACACAUGGUUGUCUCUAAUAAAGGAUAUGUAAAGAAUUUUUCAUAGAGUACCCUGGGCAUAAUGUUGACACUAGAGCCAAAGUCACAGAGUGCUUCUGGGAAGUCCACCAUGCCGAUGGAGAUCGGGAUGACGGGGCGUCCUGGAUCACCUCUCUUGACCGGCAGAAGUUCAGUAGUGAAUUCAGUGAUGGGGUUACUCCAAUUACCUGCAUCAAACAUGUCUACAAGAUUUGCAGAUUCUAAUCCUUCUGGUUGUGAUGGUAUACCGGGGUUAGUAGUAGGAACAGCAGCAGCUAUUUGAUUUAACUGAGAUUCAAUCAUUUUAUUAAAGCUAAUUUGAUUCUUGAUGGCAGUAGAGAAAUUAUCCAUUCUAUUAUUUAUAUUUUCUAGCAUUUUAUCAUUAGAUGCCAAUUUCUUAGAUAGGUUAUCCAUUAGCUUUCCUUGAUUAGACACUAACUCUCUUAGAGGUGGAAAAUUAUUAUUAUUGUUGUAAGAAUUGUUACCUUGAUAAUUACCUAAGUAGUUAGGCCUCUGUUGAUUCCAACCUUGAUUUUGUUGAGGACGGUUGUAGUAGUUGUUGUUGUUAUUGUUGAUGUAGUUCACAUCCUCAAGCAUCUCAGGGCAGUGAUUGCCUGAGUGUCCAGUAUCUCCACACUCCUCACAAGUCAUGUGAGAGUCGUAGAUGUGCAUAACUUCCUUCUUAUCUCCAGCUUUAUCGUCGAGCUUCUUCAUGAGUAGGUCUAGCUUUGUAGACAGCAUGUCUAUCUCCUUGAGCUGAUGCAUACCUCCACCUCUCUUGCGUGUCUGGGUCCUCUCUUCAUUCCAGCCUUGGUUGGACGCCAUCUUCUCCACAAGAGCUGUGGCUUGUGGUAUGGUAAGUGAUAGGAAUGCUCCUCCAGCUGCAGCAUCCAUGAUCUCUCGGGCACUGUUGCCGAGACCAUGAUAAAAUGUCUGCAUUAGUAGCCUACUCUCCAUUCCAUGAUGGGGACAUUCUAGGAUGUAGUCUUGAAAGCGCUCCCAUGCUUCUAGAACAGAUUCAUCAUUUUGUUGCUAAAAACUUGUAAUCUUCCCACGGAGAGCAUUGGUCUUGCCCAUGGGAAAGAACUUAGCCAGGAAGUUUGUUGAGCAGAGUGCCCACGUAGUAUUAUUCUCCUUUGUAGCGUAGAACCACUGCUUCGCUCUCCCUAAUAGUGUGAGGGUAUAAACCCCUAUACGCUUACGGCUAGACUUGGGCCAGGAGGCUUGACCCAUUACGAGACAAGCUCAAGGUUUGAUCCGACGGCUUGGAGUUUCGCGCAAGGAAACAAGGCGUGGAGAUCAAGCAGGAUUCUAGUCGGUUAGAAUAGGAAUUGAUAUCGAACUAUCUAUGGCAAUUGUAACCGACUAGGAUUAGUUUCCAGAUCUGUAACCCUGCCCUCCGGACUAUAUAAGGAGGGGCAAGGGACCCCCUAGGACACAUUAUUCUCUCAACACAAAUCAAUACAAUCAGACGCAGGACGUAGGUAUUACGCCAACUCGGCGGCCGAACCUGGAUAAAAAGCUUGCCUGUGUCUUGCGUCACCAUCGAGUUCGUAGUUUGCGCACCGUCUACCGAUAAACUACUACCGUGGGUAUACCCCAAUGUAGACUGCCGACCAGCUUUCGUCGACAGUGGCGCGCUAGGGAGGGGGUGUGCGUGCAACUUCUCCGGCGAACAAGAUGGUCACAAUCCCAGCUUCCGCGGCCGUUCCUGAAGGCCUCAUGUUCACCGUCGGCCAGAUCACGUGGACGACGCGCGGCGGUGGUCUCACGACCACGGUUUCGGAAGGAACCCAGAUCCAAUCUCGGAUCACGUCGGCUCCGACCACUCGGGUGACGGCUCCGAGCGCCCGACCACCGCCCCCGCUCUUCAAGGGGAAGAAGAUCGACUGCUCAGACCUUCUCCAAGCACUUGACCGCGCCGAUUCCAAGCUACUUGAAGCCUCCCAACUAGUAGAUGGAAUCUUGCGCCAGCCUGAUCAAGCCGCCCCAACGGAUUUUUUCAAAUCCCACCGGCCAACUCGUGUCGUUACACACGAACGGCAGGGAACGUCUCUGACGAUAACCUCGACUCCCUCAGGACGAUCUGUCAAGACCAAGGUCAACCCGGAGGAAGAUUACCCUCGCGGUCUGAACAACUCGGCUUCUCUCUACUCGAGACACGUCCGAUCCCUCUUUAACAAAGCUGGUUGGUUGCCAAAGGGGAGCGGUCGACCAGCUCGUCAUUACGUCAACAUGGUGACGAUCCAAGAGCUACGGGACGGCCAGGCUUCCAGUACAAAUUCGAGCACUGGUUCCGUCCCCACUGAAGUCAUAAAUUCCGAGGACGAGGACUAUGUCUUGGAUUUCCCGUCACACCCUCCGGGCUUCCCUCGUUUCCCGGUCUUCCCACCCCGGUGAGGAGACAUCGUUUUCAACGUCAGCGCCGACGAGCCGGUCGUUGACGGAGAAACAGACGAGCAGUGGCAGCUCCGCGAGCAGCGUAACGCCGAUCGCGCCCGACGACGCGCGGACGAGUAACGCCAAAUCCCGCCGCAUAAUCUCAGCGACGCUUUUGACAUGGUCGGAGAUCAGCAAGUUUAUAAAACGCCGAGCGCCAAUGUGGCCGUCGCUAUGGCUAAUCUAGACCGGCUCCCUGAUACUCCUGAGUGCCAAGGGGUCCGAACCAGUGUCCGAGCACACCUGAUCGCCGCAAUGGGAUAGACAGCCACUCUGCUCAAAAGAGUCCAGGCCGUAUCCUAUACAGAAGCCACCUCCGACCAGACUCACCGUAGUCGGACCUCACCGCAGCCCAGCAGGCACCACCGCAGACGUUCCCCCGACAACCAUCGAAUAGAUUCACUGCGUAACGACGGCGGUCGGGAUGCUGGCGGUCACCACGAGCAGAAUCGCAGGUGCGGUCAAGAAGUAAACCAGCACAGGGAUCUUCGAUAUAACAUCCCUCCCAAAGAUGCCCGGGACCGCAUUAACAGGCGCGCCAUGGAGAGAGCAGUCCACGAAAACCUGCACCGUAUCGAGUAUGAUGCAACGCACGGCCCCCCGGGCCUGAGACAGUUCUCCUCACACCUCUGCCAGGUCGUGUGGCCCCGCAAUUUCAAGCUCGAGAAACUCAAAAAAUACGACGGCAAGGAAAAUCCAGAGAACUGGAUCACUCUCUACGAAAUCGCCGUCCGAUCAGCAGCAGGGGACGAGCACGUCAUGGCCAACUACUUCCCAGUAUUCCUCGACCAGGCUGGUCAUGAGUGGCUCCGUCGCCUGCCCGAGGACUCCUUCGACUCUUGGGAAGAGCUACGCCAGGCUUUCAUCGACAACUUCAUCGCCACAUGCGAGCAGCCUGGAAACAAGUACGACCUCGAAAGGAUAAGGGACAGAAAAAAUGAACCUCUGCGCGAUUACAACCGACGAUUCUCGGAUAUGCGCCUUAAGAUCCCGAAGAUUUCCCACGACGAGGCCAUCUCUGCCUUCAUUAAAGGCCUGCGUUUCCAUGAAGCACUGAGGAACAAGCUGUUGCGCAAAAGGCCAACAACGAUGGCUGAGCUCCUCGCCACGGCUAAAAAUUACGCCGAUGCCGACGACGCAGAAAAACUAAUCCGGGACGAUGCGAGAGGUCCCGACCAGCCUCCCCGGCGAGAUGACGGCCGUGGUCGUUUCGACAACAGGAACCACCGCCGCCCCGACAACCAUGAUCACAGAGAAGGUUGGGAUAGGCGGCGCAACAAUCGCGACGAUUUCAGAGGAAAGCGCCCCCAUGACCACGACCACGAAGUGAAUACGGUCAAGCGUCCCAACGGGCGGCGGGACUACCAAGAAGAUAAAACAAAACGUUGAAGGGACCGUGCCAAUUGCAUCCAAAGUCUAAUCAUACCAUGGAAGAGUGCCGCGUCCUCAAAAACAUCUAUAUGCGGCGGGCUGCCCAAGACGACUCUGCCAAGAAAAAUGGAAAACGAGACGGGCACGACCACGAAGACGAGGACGAUGACAAAGACAGGGACCCUCGACACCAAUAUGUCAGCCCCACUGACGUGGUCCAUUCCAUCUUCAGAGGCAAGGUCUCCAUCGAGUCCAAACGAGAAAGAAAGCUCCUAAAGAGAGCCUGCCUCAACAUAGACAGCACUGAUGGUCUGAUUGCCGAUCCAAAAUUUCCUCCCUGGUCGCACAGGGAGAUCUCCUUCAGUAGGAAGGAUCAGUGGGCCGCUAUCCCGGAACCGGGUCGUUUCCCUCUAAUCUUGGACCCUUGCAUUAACAGCAUCAGAUUCGAGCGCGUGCUUGUGGACAGAGGGAGCUCCAUUGACAUCCUCUUCCGCAACAGCUUGCCCGCUCUCAAGAUAUCUCCGGCACAAUUAAAACCUUACGACGCUCAAUUUUGGGGAGUCUUGCCAGGUCAGAGUUCAGUGCCCCUCAGAUAGAUAACAUUGCCUGUCCAAUUCGGCACGCCCGACCACUUUCGGACAGAGUUCGUCAACUUUGUGGUCGCCGACUUCGAUGGGACCUGCGACGCUAUACUGGGCCGACCAUCGCUAACAAAAUUUAUGGUGGUCCUGCAUUACUCAUACCUGGUCCUCAAAAUGCCUACUGAGAAGGGCGUCCUGACCAUCAGAGGCAAUGUCUACACUGCAUAUACUUGCGAGGAAGAGAGCUUCAAGAUCACUGAAGCAAUUGAUCUCUCGAUCCGGAUGAACCCAAGCCGCACAGCUACCUCUCGACCAGCUCCGACUACCCGAGCAGGAGACCGCCAGGAAGAAUUCAAAAUCCAAGGAGUAUAAAGAAGUACAACUGGUCGACGGCAGCCCCGAGAAGACGGCCCUCAUCGAGGCCAAUCUGGACCCCAAUGUUGGGUAUUUUAAACGCAAACAGAAAAAUCCGCAAGCGCACGGAUACCGAUGUAGCUUUCACCCGGGAGUAUUCCAGAGUAUCGAUUUUCCACAGAGAACGUGAGUGUACUAAUUAAGAUCCAAGAUCGCCCAAGGAUAACUAUAUAAUUAUUUUUGGUGGGAAGAGAGGAAGUUUCCUGAGAGUUCUCUAGUUGAUCUAAGAAUCAAGAAUUACUUCAAGAUUAUCUAUAUCGGGACAUCAGAGCACUAACCACAGAAAGAGAUGAGAAGGGGGCUAGGAAGCUCCGACUACGGUCCUACAAACACCGAUCCGAACGAGGUGGAAUACGUCGACCGUUAGGGCUAUCACUACCCUAGGGCUACCACAACAAUCCGUAGGAUUGGGUGCAAUUCCAGGUAAUCGCAAGACUAAACACCAUGUGUAAUCUAUUAAUUACUACUCUAGCGUUAUAAAGACUAGAGCAAUUGAUGCAAGCAGGAAUCCAAUAAAUAACUUGAAUGUAAAUAGAAAGUGAUUAAAGAACUCAGGAAUUAUGAAUUAAAGAACUUGGAGAACGAUGAAGAACGAACCAGUUGCUACAAAAGUAUAAUGUUGAGGAAGAUCCGACAGAUCCGGCUCCUCCUCCUCUGCUCUCCUCUUCUCUCUCCCUAUUUUCUAGAUUACAACUAGAACUAACUAGAACUAGAACUAGAGGAACUAGAACUAGAACUAGAUGAACUAGAACUAGAACUAGAUGAACUAGAGGUAGAACUAGAAGAACUAGAGGGAUCCUCUCUACUUGGAUGAAGAAUUGAAACCCUAGCUUUGAUUCUGUAGAAGAGGUAUGAUCUCCAGGGGCCUGGGGGUCUGGUUUUAUAGUCCCUUCAAGUGAAUCUGGGCCGUCGGAUCAAACCGACAUUGAUCGCACGGUUUUCCUUAAUCCUUUAGGUCGGUGGAGCAUAAUCCGCGAAACGUGUCCUGAUUGGGCACUGUAGCUGGGCGGGCGCCCAGGAGAGUUGGGCGGGCGCCCUGCCUCCGAGCCCGAUUGCCUUCCCGUUCGUUCCCAUGGCUUCUGGAGUCUUCUAGAUGAUAGAAAUUUGUGCAACACGUUCAUAUCUCUAAGUAAACCCGACGUGUGGGCCUUUCCACCGUAUUUCCUGAUAACCCCCUGCAGAAAUAGACAAACACCAAAAUUCGUGGAAUUAUGUCAGAUAAAACCCUAAGUCUAGGUGUUGGUUGCAUUUGGAUCCUUUUCUAUGAUUAGUUGAUGGUUAAAUGUGAGCAUUAAGGACCGUCAACACCCAAAUAGGAAGACGCGCUCGUCAGGUUUCUAAGGGACAACGUGAGCGUUUUCGCACGGAAACCCGCAGACAUGCCCGGCGUCCCACGAAACCUGAUCGAGCACUCCUUAAACGUCUCGAAGACCGCAAGACCAAUCAAGCAAAAGCUGCGACGGUUCGCUCGUGACAAAAAGGAGGCUAUUAGGACAGAAAUAACACGGCUUCUAGCAGCCGGAUUCAUAAAAGAAGUGUAUCGUCCCGAUUGGCUCGCCAAUCCGGUCCUUGUACGCAAAAAGAAUAAUGAAUGGAGAAUGUGCAUUGAUUACACUGAUCUCAACAAACACUGUCCUAAAGACACUUUUGGUCUCCCUCGCAUCGACGAGGUGGUCGACUCAACGGCCGGAUGCGAACUCCUUUCUUUUCUAGACUGCUACUCUGGUUAUCACCAGAUCUCGCUAAAGGAAGAAGAUCAGAUAAAAACUUCUUUCAUUACUCCUUUCGGCGCAUACUGCUACACGACCAUGUCGUUCGGACUCAAGAACGCAGGAGCCACCUAUCAAAGGGCCAUCCAGCAAUGCCUCCACGACGAGAUUCGUGAUGACCCCGUCGAGGCCUAUGUAGAUGACGUCGUCGUCAAAACAAGGGAUGCAAGCACCCUAAUUGACAACUUAGACCGAACCUUUAAGGCGCUAAACAGGUACAAGUGGAAGCUUAACCCCAAAAAGUGCAUCUUUGGCGUCCCUUCCGGUCUACUGCUCGGCAACGUCGUCUGCCGCGACGGCAUACGCCUGAAUCCUUCAAAAGUAAAAAGCAGUACUCGACAUGUGACCACCUAAAAAUGUUAAGGAUAUUCAGAAGCUCACCGGAUGUAUGGCCGCACUCAGCCGCUUCAUCUCAAGACUAGGAGAAAAAGGCCUCCCCCUUUCUUCAAACUCCUGAAGGCAUCGGAAAAAUUUUCUUGGACAGAAGAAGCCGACACUGCUUUCACCCAGCUUAAGACUUUCCUCACUUCACCGCCUGUUCUUACAGCGCCUCAGCCCAAUGAAGACUACUCCUUUACAUUGCUGCAACCGACAGAGUUGUUUCCACGGCAAUAGUGGUCGAGCGAGACGAGCCAGGUCAUGUCUACAAGGUCCAGAGACCCGUUUACUUCAUAAGCGAAGUCCUAAACGAGUCCAAGGCCAGAUAUCCACAAAUACAGAAGCUCAUAUACGCAGUUUUAAUAACAUCGAGAAAGCUAAAGCACUACUUCGACGGCCAUCGAGUCUUGGUAACCACCAGUUUCCCUCUUGGAGACAUUCUGCGCAAUAAAGACGCCAACGGCAGAAUUGUAAAAUGGGCAAUGGAAUUAUGCCCAUUCUCCCUGGAAUUCCAGAGCCGCACCACAGUCAAGUCUCAGGCCCUGGUCGAUUUCAUUGCAGAGUGGACGGAUCUCAACGAGCCUCCCGUUCCCGACGUCUCCGACCACUGGUCGAUGUUCUUCGACGGGUCCUUGAACAUCAACGGCGCCGGUGCGGGGAUUCUUUUCGUGUCGCCUAACAAGGACAAACUGCGUUACGUCCUUAGAAUCCUUUUUCCGGCAUCAAACAACGUCGCCAAAUACGAAGCAUGCCUUCACAGCAUACGAUUAGCCGUUGAGUUGGGAGUCAAACGCCUUUAUGUCUAUGGCGACUCCGCUUUAGUUAUCAACCAACUCAACAAGGAAUGGGACGCAACCCACGAGAAGAUGGAUCUCUACUGCAAAGAAAUUCACAAAUGGGAAACCAACUUCUACGGCAUAGAGUACAUCCACAUGGUCCGGGAUAAGAACCAGGCAGCAGAUGCGUUGUCAAAGUUAGCGUCAUCUCGGGCACAAAUCCCGCGAGGUGUUUUCGUCCAGGACAUCCAUGAGCCAAGUGUGGGCAAAGACCCGGCCGAAAAGCAACCUAUUGAGGCAAUGCUCAUAGAUGACGUUACUCCGGCACCCGGUAACCGUGAUUGGCGCACCCCAUUCAUCAGAAAUAUAUCAGACAGGUCAGGUUUUCAGGAUAAAACAGAGAACGAGCGCCUCAUUCGACGAUCAAAGAAUUACAUACUGGUGGACGACAAACUUAUGCGAAAAAAUGCAAGUUCUGAAGUGCUGCUCAAAUGCAUAUCCCAGGACGAUGGCAUCUGUUGACGGUCCUUAAGUAUCAAAUUUAAUUAUCAAAUAAACAAAGAAAAGGAUCCAAAUGAAAUCAACAUCUAGACUUAGGGUUUUAUCUGACAGAAUUCCACGAGUUUUUGUGUUUGUCUAUUUCUGCAGGGGGUUAUCAGGAAAUAAGGAAGAAAGGCCCACAUGUCAGGAUUACAUAGAGAUAUCAACGCACCGUGCAAUUUUCUACCAUCUAGAAGACUCCAGAAGCCACGAGACCGAAGCGGAGGCGAAACGGGGCGAGGACCUGGGCGCCCGCCCAGUUUCCUUGGGCGCCCGCCCACCUGUGGAGCCCAAUCAGAACUCUUUCUCUCGGGAGAUCUCCACCGACCUAUUGGAUUCAGAAUAACGUAGUACCACCUCGCCUACCGACCCAAAAACGCAUAGAAGGGGAGGACUAUAUAAGGAGACCCCCCUGGCCACUGGAGAAGACAAGAAAUUAUCAUAGAGAUUGAGGGGUGCCCUCGAAGGAAAACCUCUUCUCUAAAUAAUAUUUCUUUUUAGGCUUAGCAACCAAUGUAAAGUAGAAAUAGAUCUUCUAGUUUCUACUAGAUUGAGAGAGAUAGAGUGGAGGUGUGGAUCGGAGGAAGGCUGGCCUGUCGGUGUCUACUCCGAGUUGUACCUACAGGAUCAAGUCUUCUAACCCGAGGCUUGCUUCUAAGAUUCUUCAGUAAUUCGACUUCUAAUUCUAGUAAGUUCUUGUUUUAUUGUUCUUUGGUUUAUGAGUUUACUUUAAUCCUCUUCCGGUUGAGUAUUAGAGUAAUCACUUGCUGGCGUAAACGUGGUGUUUAGGCUAGGGUACUCAUAGAUAUCCCCUGACUAGCUGGACCGUGGUAGUAGCGAGGAACGUGACAUUUCCGAGUUACCUUUGCAGAUCACAUCUCGUUAGCAGGACGGGUAGGUUUAUAGGUGCGGGUCGAACAUCCUUUGUGUUGUCUAGAUUCCGUGAGCCUCCCCAAUAGAACAGUAGAUCAUCCUUACCAAGGUUAGAACGAGACUACGGUUGCAGUCUUCUCUAUACAUCACUCACAUCGAGAAACAUUCUUGUUAGCCUAAAGGGAUAGUAGCAAUAGAUUUGGUUAGUCAGAUGCACCCUUUCUCCCAGUGGUAAAAAUAUAAAUACGAUAACUCUGGAUAACCUCUCGGGUGAAAUGCUCACCGAUAUCCAUGCGCUUGCGUAUUAUUUUCUAAUUGCGUUACCAAAUAUCAACAAGCAUUUCUGGCGCCGUUGCCGGGGAGAAAGACGGUUUGCUGAGAUAACUUUGAAUCUUGCUAUUAUCUUAUAUUAUACUCUUAUACUUUUAUUCUUUUAUCUAUUUAUUUUUAUCUUUAUGGAUAACUCAAAUUCCAUACCUAUUAUUGAAUUCUUUGCACCUUCGGAGACCAGCCAUAGACCAUGGGAGUCAACACGUCCUGCCCCUAAUUAUGAUCUGUGCCCGGAGUUGAUUGCAAUAGGUCCAAACCAACCCUUUUCUAUAGCCGAGGUCCUAUCUUUUAAUCAAGAAGAUAAUGCACUUUUAGCUACACCUAGGGAAUCUGUUAAUCUUUUUAUAAAUUCUGGUUUAGACCUAGCCCUACAAGACCAUGUUUUUCCUAGAUAUUUUCACAUUGGUCUUAAUCAUAUAACCAUUAGUAGAGUCCUUCUUUCUUUAUCUAUUAGUAAAGGAAGGUAUGUCUUCAUUCGUGGACAUCCUUCUUGCACUAAUCUUCAUAGAAAAAUCUUAGAGAUAGAGAAGGAAUCAUCUCCCAUACAAGGAGAGGAAGUUUCAAUAGCUGAUUUCCAAACAUUUCAAUCCCAUGAUUCGGCUAUCCAUCCCAUCCUUAAGCUUAAUAAAUUCUACUAUGCUCUUUCUCUUGAACCUCCCGAUAAUCCUAUGAAUCUCUCUAGACAUCCCAUGCAUAAGAAGGAGGAUCGAGAAGAGCAACAUCAAUGGCUAAAGGGCAUUAAAAAUCCAUGUGCUAUCACCAUUGAAUGGAUAGAUAAAACAAAUUUGAGAGACAAUCCUAGAGGAAUUUUAAGCAUUCAUGAAGAAUCAUCCUUGGAGUUUGAGAAUGAGAGAAACAACAGUGAGCAUGGAAGUUAUUUCAUAAAUACCUUACCAAGUCCUUGCUCAUAUAAAACAUCUCCCCAAUCAAUCGGUCUCUCCAUCAUCACCACAUUUGAGAUCUUCAACCCCCUCUUCCUUUCUAUUUAUAAAAACUUUAAAAGGGCGGUUGUCGAUGCAUAUGUCUAUAAUAAAUAUUGUAGAUCUCGUUGAGUUGAUCUUGAUAUAGGUAGGUGUUGGAUGCGAAACCACUUCACCAACAUAAAUUGAUGGUUUCCCAAGGAUAAGCUUAACAAGCACUUAUCAGAUCGUAACAUGAACUUCUAAUUAUUUGCAACAUUGCCUUGUGUAUUGAGCAUAUAAAGAUAAUUGUAGAAAUAUUCCUUCGGGUAUUCUUGCCACUAACCUUUCUAGGAUUGGAGCAAGAAGAUCGGAGGAAUGACAAGCACAAGGUAUGUCCAACCAAUCAUCAUGCAACAUUGAAUUAAAUUCAUCCAAACUUGAAUUUUGUAAAAUUCAAGCUUGGGGGAGUACUUUACAUAAAAACAUCCUUUGCCAUGUUGCUACGUUGGUUGUCCCUACCUUUGAGAGAUGCUCAAUUUGUUGAGUACUAAUUACACUACUUCACCUCCACUUGAGUAGAUCGCUAUAAAUGCUCUCAUGCUACCUUUAUUUGCUUUAGUAUAUGUCUAGGUUUGGAGUAGUUUCAUUUAUCUCUUAAAUCAAGCAUGGUGCUUAGUUUAGGAAUAAUGAUCUUACUUCCAAAGGAUUUUUAAAUUAAGCAUGGUGCUUAGGUUAAAAUGCCCUCCUAAAUCAAAUUAGACAUGGUGUCUAGGUUGAUUUUUGAGCCGAUAGUAUGCUAUAGUAGAUUUGGGAUAUUUUGUUGGACUAACCCCUGCAGGAAAACUUUCAAUAUCAACCUGGGAAGUCCUGAGAUACAAACUCAAUAGAGAUAAAGGAGACACAUGAAGUUUAACAAUUUGCACAAGAAAGACGUAGCUCAUAAGAGAUGAUUCAUGGAGGGUGGCACAAACACGAUGCACAACCGCUAAGAAAGGAAAGCUUCCACGAGGUAAUACUGUACCGUCACUCUUCAAGUAAGGUAACAUUUUAAGGUACUUGACUAUCACUUUUAUAAGCUUCUCCUUGGUUCUAGCAUUCACAUAAAUAAAGAGACAAACAUGUAUGAUUUAUAACUCCAAAUUAACCAACCCAAUUAAUUCGACAUGAUUAGUCCUUUAAUCUUUGUUCUUAGUACUACCUUCGUGAUCCCACACUCCUAAUCAUAUAAGCUAAAAUGUUGCACAUUCAAUCUUUGGAAGAUAUAAACAAAACAUAAAUAUAGAUAGAUUAUCUUUCCAUUAGGUUGAGCCAUCUGAUCUAACAAAUGUUUUAAAUGCUACACUCAUGAUCCAUCAACUUUGUCUUGCUCACUAUGCUUAAGGUUAGAGAAGAACAAAUACACUUUUGGUUCUGUUGGUGUUUUCCACCAACAGGGCCCAUGCACUUGAUCUCUGCCUUGUCUCUAUGAACAGGUACACUUCAAACAAAACAUGGAGGAGUUUUACAACUCCCAGAUUCCAUCAAGUGAAGAACCGGGAUAUACGAGCACAAACACAAUGGAGAUCAGACACUUAGUUUCCCAAAGGAAAUAUUGAAGAACCUCUGUGUCCGAGUUGGUACCUUGUACACUCCAGCAAACUUCAUGGUGAUAGAGACUGGCACUGAGGAGAGGGCACCCAUCAUCUUAGGGAGGCCAUUCCUAAACACCAGAAGUGUCAUCUACGCUAAUGCUGCCAAGAUCAGUCUCUACAUCAAGGGGAAGAAGGAGAUUUUCCUUCAAGAACAAGACUACACAAACUUCAGAGCAAUCCCGACAUGAACCAAGGAAGAGGGCCAACAGGAGGAACAGGAACAAGCAAAUGUGGACCGAGUCAGCUAAGAUGGUCACUGCAGCUCAAGGAGGUCAAGAUCGUCGACUCAAGUCACCUUUCUUGAUCAAGAAGGACGACCCUGGUGUUCCAAGAAUCGAAUGCACAAACAAUGGAUACUCUUUUCAGAAGGCACUCUACGACACCGGAUCUGACGACAACAUAAUGGCCGCAGUCACUUAUCAGCUCCUGCAUGGAACCAUGCCCCUACAACCAAGAUACAUUCAGCUUCAAACAAUUUUCAGGUCAUUGACAUGGGAGAAGACAAGUAUGAUCCAUCCACCAUCCUUGGAAGACCGUUCCUAAACACUAUCAAAGCCAUUAUCUAUAUUGGAACCGGAGAAGUCCACAUGCACUUCCCCUCUGAGAAAGGUACGCCACUACUUUAAUGAUUAUAUAGUUGAAGAUUCUAAGCAGGUCAGGACAAGAAGAAGACAACGCAACCGCAACCAGAGGAGGCAAAUCAUCAAGGACGGAUGGGUAGACUACGAAGGAGAAGUGAUAAGGACUGAAGACAUACAACUUGAAUAGAACUGUCCUGAGGAGACCGUAACACCGAGUCAGGUAUGGAAAAUGAAGAUAACUAUAAAUGAAGAGGAGGCGCUACCGGAAGUACCGACUACGCCACCCAACGAACCUCAGGACGACUAAGAAAACGGAGAGUCCCGUUCGGAGGACCUAAAAAACACCGAACGCCUUGCCAAGAGGUAAACUUGGUAGUUAUACUUUUCCUUUCAAUUAUUCAAUUAUAGUUUGCUUAGUUAAUCAUGUUCGUAUUAUCCUAGAAAGAAAAUAAAAAUGUGAAAAAACUGUAAGCCCCAUAUGAGUAUACGAGUGGCAUAAAACCCAUAAGUACAUUCACUGUGGUGGCAUAAAAAUAAAAUAAAUAUUUUUCUGCUUUAUAAAAUGAAAAUAUAAAAAACAAGGGGUAAUAAUUAUUAAGGAGUCUCAAGAUGAUAAAGGCUAGAUAUUUAUGCUAACACUUAAUCAGUUCCACAAGCUUUGUUGUCUAUUUGAGCUCCAUAGAAUUUAAGAAUCAAGAAGACUAGCAGACGGAGGACAUUCUAAUCGCUGUCAGAAUGCUGUUGACUUUCAAAAACACCUCUGCCACCUGCUAGCUACAUCAAGCGAAAUUACGUCAAAAUUCAGCUUGGGGGAGAGCACCCCAAUUUAUCUCGAUAAGUAUUUCUAUCUAUCUAUCUAUCUUUGUACUUAUAUUAUAUUAGAAUAUUAAAAUACAUAAACUAUGAAAAACCAAAUAAAGAUUUUAUGCUUAUAUAUAUUUUGCUUAGUGUGUUUAAUAAAUAAAUAAAGUGGCUAUGCUAAUCUGUAUCUAAUAAAACUUAAGCAUGGAUAUGAUGAAUAGUUGCUCUGCCUAAUUUGCAAAUUUGAAGUUCUCUCUCAAGUUUAGAUAUAACUGUUAUAAUUUAAGGCUUGCUCUAGACCUAAACUUGUGGGAUGAAAACUUGAUCUGAAGUCUAUGUUGUUAACGGAUACGAUAUGGGAAGGUUGAGCUGCUGUUUAUCUGUUCCUAUAGAUGCUAGAAUUCUGGAGAAUUUUAUCUUUAAAAAUCUUUAAAAUGUUGCAUGAUGAGUUCCUGUAUGAUGAGAGUUUAAAUUCCUACCACAGCCAUAUAUACAUGCUUGCUAGACCUUGAGCCACACAUUUACUAUUUACUGCUUAUGAGCAUUGAGUGUGGUCAAGCUGUGUAGACCCUUAGGAGCUUGUCAUGUGGUUAAAUCAAGAUUCACUUGCACGAUUACUCAUACAUGCUACUUCUACUCCGGAAGUACCAUCCACAUAUAUCCACUCAUUUCUAUCUCCAGUUUUACCCAAAAUUAUUCUACUCCUAAUCCGGGAGAGAAUAGCCAAAAACAUUUUCCUAUCCCUGUUAUUCCCUGUGAAAUAAAUGCUCCAGUUAUUUUGGUUACUACCACUUGCUACAUUAUUUCAGGAGGUGAGUGCUCUAGUAAAAAAAAGAGAAAAAAAGAAGAAAAAAAUAGAAAAAAAAAUAAUAAUAAUAUACGAGGAAAUAAAAAGGAGCAAGUGCUCGGAACCUCGAAAGAAAAGAAAAAGAAGAGCAUCUCAUUCUCCUCAUAAAGUUUCAAAAGCAAGGAAGGUAUGUAUCCCCUCAAAGAGCAAAGUAGAAUUAGACUUCCACCACCAUUGUUAUCACCAUCAUCACCAUACACCAUUCGUUCGCCACACAUACACAUCUUGAUUUGGCUUAUUGAUUUGUUUCUUUGGAUCCAUGGUUUGACUAUGCAAUAAAUGUCUUGUAAGUAUGUAUACUUUAUCUCCCACCUAUGAGCUCCAGAUAUUAAAGCCUUAUUAGAGUAGGGUGAGAGAGAAGACAAUGUCACUAUGCUUCAUACCACAAAUACUACAUAUUUUGAGAGAAGGCAUAUACCAUCACUGCCUUGGUAAGGAUCCAGAAAUACCACAAAAGAGAGAUCUGAGAGAGUCAUAUAAGGAAUCUCUGAGUUUUAUUUGAAAAUCUGCAAAAACCCCAGAGCUAUAGCUGAUCAAGAAUAAGAGACAUGGCGCUUGACUUGACCGUUCUAUCUUUUAACUGCUCAAGACACAAGUGACGGUUACAAGCCCCAUGGUGAAAGGUAAAAUGAGUAAGUUUUAAGUCUUAAUAGUUUAUUCUAACUCAGAGAUGAGAUCUUGCUUGAAUGCGUGUGUACUUUUAAGGCAUGAAACCACUGCAGAAACUCUUGAGUUCAUCCUUGCUUAGGGACGAGCAAGAAGUAAGCAUGGGGGGAUUUGUUGACGGUCCUUAAGUAUCAAAUUUAAUUAUCAAAUAAACAAAGAAAAGGAUCCAAAUGAAAUCAACAUCUAGACUUAGGGUUUUAUCUGACAGAAUUCCACGAGUUUUGGUGUUUGUCUAUUUCUGCACGGGGUUAUCAGGAAAUAAGGAAGAAAGGCCCACAUGUCAGGAUUACAUAGAGAUAUCAACGCACCGCGCAAUUUUCUACCAUCUAGAAGACUCCCGAAGCCACGAGACCGAAGCGGAGGCGAAACGGGGCCAGGACCUGGGCGCCCGCCCAGUUUCCUUGGGCGCCCGCCCACCUGUUGAGCCCAAUCAGGACUCUUUCUCUCGGGAGAUCUCCACCGACCUAUUGGAUUCAGAAUAACGUAGUACCACCUCGCCUACCGACCCAAAAACGCAUAGAAGGGGAGGACUAUAUAAGGAGACCAACCCUGGCCCCUGGAGAAGACAAGAAAUUAUCAUAGAGAUUGAGGGGUGCCCUCGAAGGAAAACCUCUUCUCUAAAUAAUAUUUCUUUUUAGGCUUAGCAACCAAUGUAAAGUAGAAAUAGAUCUUCUAGUUUCUACUAGAUUGAGAGAGAUAGAGUGGAGGUGUGGAUUGGAGGAAGGCCGGCCUGUCGGUGUCUACUCCGAGUUGUACCUACGGGAUCAAGUCUUCUAACCCGAGGCUUGCUUCUAAGAUUCUUCAGUAAUUUGACUUCUAAUUCUAGUAAGUUCUUGUUUUAUUGUUCUUUGGUUUAUGAGUUUACUUUAAUCCUCUUCCGGUUGAGUAUUAGAGUAAUCACUUGCUGGCGUAAACGUGGUGUUUAGGCUAGGGUACUCAUAGAUAUCCCCUGACUAGCUGGACCGUGGUAGUAGCGAGAAACGUGACAUUUCCGAGUUACCUUUGCAGAUCACAUCUCGUUAGCAGGACGGGUAGGUUUAUAGGUGCGGGUCGAACAUCCUUUGUGUUGUCUAGAUUCCGUGAGCCUCCCCAAUAGAACAGUAGAUCAUCCUUACCAAGGUUAGAACGAGACUACGGUUGCAGUCUUCUCUAUACAUCACUCACAUCGAGAAACAUUCUUUGUAGCCUAAAGGGAUAGUAGCAAUAGAUUUGGUUAGUCAGAUGCACCCUUUCUCCCAGUGGUAAAAAUAUAAAUACGAUAACUCUGGAUAACCUCUCGGGUGAAAUGCUCACCGAUAUCCGUGCGCUUGCGGAUCAUUUUCUAAUUGCGUUACCAAAUAUCAACAGCAUCAAGCUCCUAGAUGACAUACAUGCUGGAUCCUGCGGCAAUCAUGCUGCCUCCAGAACGCUGGUCGGGAAAGCUUUCCGAACAGGUUUUUAUUGGCCAACCGCGGUCAACGACGUAGAAAAACUGGUCCGAUACUGUGAGGGAUGUCAGUUCUUCGCUAAAAGGACCCACGUACCUGCUCACGAGAUUCAAACUAUCCCGUCGUCCUGGCCUUUCGCCUGCUGGGGGCUCGACAUGAUCGGGCCAUUUAAACCGGCCCCUGGUAACUUCAAGUUCGUCUUCGUAUUAAUCGACAAGUUUUCAAAGUGGAUUGAAUACAUGCCACUGGUCAAAGCAACCUCCGAGAAGGCUGUGGAGUUCCUCAAUCAAAUCAUACACAGAUUCGGGAUCCCAAACAGUAUAAUCACCGACCUGGGUACUCAGUUCACUGGCACCACAUUUUGGGACUUCUGCGAUGACAGAGGCAUAGUCAUAAAAUACGUGUCAGUAGCUCACCCACGGGCAAAUGGCCAAGUUGAACGUGCAAACGGAAUGAUCAUCGAUGCCCGAAAGAAAAGGUUGUACACCGAGAAUGACAGAGCACCUGGUCGAUGGAUGAAAGAGUUGCCGGCCGUGGUGCGAAUAGAUAAGCUCAAUCAUAUUAGUGAUGCGAAUGACAACUCAAAAUCUUUUAUUCCAUUCCUGAUUAGUAAUCAACCUUCCCCGGCAACGGUGCCAAAAAUGCUUGUUGGGUAUUCUUAACAUCAUUACCAAAAGUAAACUUAGUUUUCUAAAUCUAGUAACGGUGCCAAAAAUGCCAAACCUAUCUCUCAUACCACUUAAGCCAAGUUGUCAUCCCCAGCAUGACAUGAGAGACGCGGUAUUGAAAUAUGCAUUGCUCUUCUAAAUAAAUAAUGAAUGGGAUCUUCAAGCGCACAGAUUAAUAUCGAUGUAGCAUUUUAACCGGGAAGUAUUCCAGGUAUCGUUAUUUAUAUUUUUACCACUGGGAAGGGAUUAACAAUCAUCAAUAUUGAUUACAGAAUAGAAUAUGAGAUUGAGUAUCUAUCAUUGCAUGUAUAAUUGAGAACAUAUUAUAUAACUCUUUCAUACAGGGAUAAGUGUCACAUAAAAGAUAUAUGAAAUAAUAAAUAGUGACAAACAUAAUUAAUCUGAUCAGCCACAUAUAAAUAUGAUAAGCACCUCAAUUAGAUACUCUAGAAAGUCAUUAGCAUGGUAUUAGAAUGAACUACAAGAAUAUUUCCUAAGUUAUUCUCAACUAUAUAGUUUAGCAUUAUCAUAGUUAGUGCAAGCAUACUUAGCAAUCAUUGUGAGACAAGACUACGCCCAUGCAUAGUGAUAUUAGCAAGGUAAAUGAGAAACAUAGCAAUCACUCCCCUGUAAUAAUAUUGCUCUGCCAGCCCAAUACACUAGAGGGGGACUAUAUAAGAAUCAAUGAAGCUGUCACUGUCACGAACUACCCCACGAUCUGGCAUAUUGGGUACAAUCGCAGAUAAAUACGGUAUAAGCACCACGCCUACACAAUAUCUAUCAUUUACCCAUGGAUCUGAUGGAUAAACGCUAUACGAUCCUAAGCAUGUAUAUAGAUCCAAUCUAACUAAGCCAAGUACAUAACUAUGAUAAACUAAGAACAAUAUAAUCUUGAAUAUAAACAAGUAGAGCAAAGUCAUAAGCAAUAUAUUGAAGUAGAACAAAGUCAUAUUCAUAAUAUUGAAGAACAAAGAUAAUUAGAAAGCAAUUAGAAGCACAAUUAGAGAAUUACCAAGAAUCCUCUUGACAGAUCCGGAAACCAAUCGAAGAUUGACUCCUUCUAGUUCUAAUCCUAUGUAGCUAUGCUAAUCUAGAUGUCUAAGUGGCUCUAUUCUUGAUCAGGGGCUUCUUCUCCCUUGAGGAACAAUGAAUUAGGGUCGAGAGGCUCUCUCCUCCAGGGGCUAGGGGGUCUGGUUUUAUAGUCCCUUCAAGUGAAUAUGGGCCGUUGGAUCAAACCGACUUAGAUUGGACGGUUAUCCUUGAUCCUUUAGGUCGGUGGAGAUCUCCCACGAAGUAGAGUCCUGAUUGGACUCUCAGAGGGGGCGGGCGCCCAGGGGAACAGGGCGGGUGCCCUGCCUUUGGCCCUGUUUCGCCUCCGUUUCCGUCUCGUGGCUUCUAGAAUAUUCUUGGUGUAAGAUAAUUGCGCGGCACGUUAAUAUCUCUAUGUAAUCCCGACGUGUGGGCCUUUCUUCCGUAUUUCCUGAUAACCCCCUGCAGAAAUAGACAAACACCAAAACUCGUGGAAUUCUGUCAUAUAAAACCCUAAGUCUAGAUGUUGAUUUCAUUUGGAUCCUUUUCUUUGUUUAUUUGAUAAUUAAAUUUGAUACUUAAGGACCGUCAACAAUCUCUUGUAAAUUGGUCAGCUCUGUUACAAUAUUUAUUCUUGAUUGUAACAUCAUUGAGUGCACAAUAAUCUACACACAUCCUCUAAGUCCCUUCUUUCUUUGGAACAAAAAUGACUGGGGCUCCCCAUGGUGAGGUACUAGGAUGUAUAUACCCUUUAUCUAAGAGAUCUUGGAUUUGAUGCUUUAGCUUAGCUAGUUCAUUUGCAUCCAUUCUAUAUGGCCUUUUAUAUAUAGGUGUAGUACGAGGUACUAAUUCAAUGGAAAACUCAAUUUCUCGGUCUAGUGGCAUAACUAGUAACUCCUCUAGAAGACAUCUGGGAAGUCACUGACUAUUUUAAUCUCUCCAACAACAUUGGCCUACUUGAGCUAGAUUCUCUCAGUUCCCGUUGUUUCAGCUUGAUACUCCUACUCCACCUUUGUACCAUAUGGAUGCUUAAACUAAACUACCUUUCUGGCACAUCAAUUAUUCCAUCAUGUUUGGUGAGCCAGUACAUUCCUAGAAUGAUGUCUAUACCCUUGGAUUCCAAGAUGAUAAGGUGAGAAAGGAAAUCUACCCCACUUAUGGAAAUUCUUAUAUUUGGGCAUACCAGCCUACAUAUCAAUUGUCCUCCAAGAGAUUCAGCUAUCAUGUUUCACUUCAAAUGAAUUUUUGGUAUGUUAUGUUGUGCUAUGAACCUGCUAGAUAUAAAGGAAUCUAUUACACCAGAAUCAAAUAGAAACGUAGCGAGAUUAGGAUUGAUGGGUAAUAUAACAAGCACCACAUCAAAAGUGUUCUAAGCCUCCUUUGCAACAACAUGGUUGACCUUUACAUGUGGAGCUUGUUGUUGCGGUUGGUUUGGCUGUUCCUUCUUUGGGCACUUAUUGGCAAGAUGUCUUGUCUUGUUGCACUUGAAACAAGGGCCUAUCUUGCUUGACCCCUGUUGACGGUAGAUAAAUCCUAAUUUUAACCAUCAAGUAGACAUGUAAGUGAAUCUAUACAUAAAACAUCUAGUAGAUAUAGGGUUAUCACUGACAGUAAUCCACAAGUUUUCAUGAUUGUCUAUUUCUACAGGGGGGUCAUCAGAAUAAGAACAAAGGAGGUCCACAUGUCAGAUUUGCAUAGAGAGAAUACAUGAAACGUCAACUCCAGAGUAACCCAAAAGGUUCGAGGAGGCUCCAGACCAAAUGGGAAGCGAAUCGGGUCUAGGCACCAGGCGGCCGCCCGAAGGGCCAGGGGCGCUCGCCCCACUAGCUCCACCAAUCAGGGUGAAGUUUGUGGAUCAGCCUCCACGGACUUUGAGGAUUAAUCUUAAGCGCAUGUUUAAGUCGGUUUUAUCCAAGUGCUAUGGUGAUUUCUAGGGGAUAUAAAUACAAGGCCUGACCCCCCUCAGAAGCUAACUCUAAAACCCUAAUUCAUAAUUUCCAAAGAGAGUUAGUCGCAGAGCGGUCCCUCGAAUGGAUCUAUCUCUUUAGGGUUUUAGCAACAAGAGAGAUUGAGAGAGUAUAGGGUGGAGAUAUAAGUGGAGGAAGUCCGGCCUGUCGGUGUCUUCUUCCUUGUAUCUACAGGAUCAAGUCUCCUAACCCAAGGCUAGGUUCUAGAAUCAUUCGGCAAUUUGACUUCUAAUACUAGUAAGUUAAUGUUCUUAUUGUUAUUUGGUUUGCGAGUUUACUUUAUUCGCUUACGCUUGGCAAUAGAGUAAUCGUUCGUAGUGUAAACGUGGUACUUCUGCUAGGAACACUCGUAGAUACUAGCUAUCUGGCCGGAUUUGUGGUAGCCUUUUUGGGGAAGACACAAUCCUCUAGGGUCUUAGUAAUCAACGUCCUGUCACGAGGUAAGGUAGGAUAUAUGGUGCCGGAGUUAAGCAUUCCCUAAGGUGUCUCUUUUCUCUAGGUACUCCCCUUAGAACAAUAUCUGCACAACUUACCAUAGGUUAGAAGAAGACCGACGAAGGAGUUCUCUCUAUAUCACUCAUAUCUCACUAUCUUGUCUUGCAGCCCGUGGGUAGUAGUUAAGACCAAGGAUAGUCUUUUGCAUGCGUUCUCCCAGUGGUAAAAAUAUAAAUACGAUACUCUGGACUUAUCUCUUGGGUGAAGUGCUCACCGAUAUCUGUGCACUUGUGGAUUAUUUCUUUAGAUUCUUUCAUGUGCGUAACUAAUAUCAACAAGCAUUUCUGGUGCCGUUGCCGGGGAGAAAGACGGUCUGCUUAGAUAACCUAGUCUUAAUCUACCUUGUAUUAUACUUUUAUCUUUUUCUUUUAUCUCAUCUUUUGUUUUUCCUUUUCUUUUCUGUCUUUAUAGAUAACCCAAAUUCCACGCCUAUCUAUCAAAUUCUUGCACCCAUGAGUGCAUGCUUAGAGCCACUAGAGCCCAUGAUUAUCACAUCUAGCUAUGAGCUACGCCCAUGUUUGCUUGCAAUAGCUCAAAGCCAACCCUUUUGUACAACUAGAGUCCUAUCUUCUAAUCAAGAAUGUAAUGUACCCAAGGUCCUAUAUUCUGAUCAAGUAGGUAAUGAACUUUUAGCUACACUUAGGGAAUCUUUUAAUCUUCCUAUAAAUUUAGGCUUAGACCUACAAGACCCUGUUUUUCUACAACAUCUUUUUACGGGUCUUAAUAAUACCACCUUUGGAGGAGUUUUCCUUUCUUUAUCCAAUAGUGAGGAAAGGUUUGUCCUUAUUAGUGGACACACUCCUUGCACUAGCCUUCAUGAUAAAAUCCUAAAGGUAGUGAAGGAAUCAUCCCCCAAACUAGAAGAGGAAGUUUUCAUAGCCACUUUGCAAAUAUUCCAAUCCCAUGAUUUGGCUAUCCAUCCCAAACUAGUAGUACUCCAAAUUCACCAUCAAAAAGAUUUUGGGAGGAGUUUCAAUUUCCCGCUUCAUAGGAAAUCUUUUAGUGCUUAUAGUUUGACUCUUCAAAAGUGAUUUCUUACGAAGCUUUUCAACUCCAAUUCCUUUGGAGGAUUAUUAGAAAGGCUGAAGGAUGGCAAAUCAAGUGAUACCAUAGAAGGAGAGCGAAGCCAUCUAGAAGCCACUCAUGUCCUCUCCCAUUCUAUGCCCACUUUAGAUAUAGAAUACGAACCCGUCUCUAAACCCAUCUGUAACACCCUAGGUGUUAAGAAUGUAUUUAGUCUCAUAAAUCAUUCAUAAGCAUUCUCAUAAAGCAUGAGCAUGGACAUGGCUUCAUAUAAGCAUUGUAAAAUUCAAAUGUGAUUUUAUGUGCUUAAUUAAAAAUAAAUUUAAUUGUGCUACAUUAAUAAGCUUGAUUUAAAAAUGCUUGUGAUGACCAAAUUAGGUUAAGUAAUGUUUUAGAAGAACUAAGAUUAAUUUUGUCUAAUUUUUGCACCUCUAGAAUUUGAGAAAUUGAUUUUAUUCAAAAUUCCACAAAAUGAAUCUAUUUAAAACCUAGAACUAGUUUUAAAUUGUAAUUCAAAUUCUAUUUGGAUUUUGGGGUUACACUUUAAAGCAAAGUUGUAGAGCAAUUUAUUUUGAACAACUUUUUUUUGGGGCAAAGUCUGAAAAUGUUUUAAAUGGGUUAAAAUGUGAGUGGAAAACAAUUGAGAAAAGAAAUUCAAAAGAAUGAAAAGGGGACAAGGGUGCUAGCGGGCCGCCGCAUCGCUUCUAGCCCACUAGCCGAAGCCUACCCAGCCCCCGCGCACACCCCUUCUCCCUCCCUGCGCCAGCGCCCACGCGCGACGGCACCGCCGUUGCCGCCGUGGCGAGCCGGCAGGCCGCGGCCGCCGCGUGGCGGCCAUGCAAUGCCACGGCAGCGCCCUGGUCGGCCACCAGACCCCCUGCCGCUCCCGCCUCGCUCCCCUCUCUCAUUUGGGACGCUCAGCUCUCUCUCUGGCCCUCUCUCUUGCUCGCAGCACCAGCGGCAGCGCCGCCAUGCGCCAUCGCCACCGGGGCUUGGAGCUUCCACUCCUCGCUACUCUGACCCCCUCCUCCGAAUUUGAGGCCACCGGCGACCUCGUCUCACCUCCCCGCACCUCGCGCGUGUGCUCAACCCCACUCGGUAAGCCCUGCUCAGCUACGAGAGCUCACCGGAGUGAGCCUGAACUCCGGCGAACACUCGGCUCGCGUGGCUCUCUCCUUCCUCCACCAUUGGCCUCGAUUCCGAGCGCUCUAGUUUUGCCUUGACCUCACGAGUCUUCUCCCACCCUUGGUUUACGCUCUACCGUCCGGAGCUAGCUGGACCAUGACGAGCAGCGCCACCGUGUCCGCCAUGCUCGACGACGAGCCGUCUUCGGUGCUCAAUAAGCGUCGAUAGGGGUACGGUUGGGUUUGUCGCGCAAUAGGGAGUGUGUUGGUGCCCUUGGACUCGUCGGAAACCUCGCCGAUGGCGAGUUCCCGACCGGUCAACGGCCGCGUACGCCUUGUGCGCCUGACUGGUCGGGUUGGCUGACCCAUUGCCUUUGCGGAGUAGAUUCAGGGUGCCCCUAGUGUUUUAAAUCUGUUUUCGUUUUAUAAAUAUUUUCUAGAAAAUGUUCAAAGCUUGUAAAAAUCAUAACUUGAGUUCUGUAGCUCCAAAAAUGGUGAAAUAAAUUUUGACAUGUUCUAUGAAUUGAGAUCUACAGUUUGGCGCCCUUGCAUGUCAUGUUUGGUUAUCUUUUCUGUGUAAAUAUAUUUAAUCCAUGUUAUUGCUUUUUUCUUAGAAAAUGCACAGUAAAUAAAAUAUGGCACAGAAAAAUUUGAUUCUUGUUCUACUAGCUUAGCAUGGAUGCAUAGUUGCUGGGAAAAAUGUUGUCGGUGUUUUCCCCACGGGGGGUCACACCAACGAGUAAAUUUGUAUGCGUGCUCCCUUUCCCAGAUGGUGAUGCAAGAAGACACAAAGAUUUAUCCUGGUUUGGGCAAGAGAAAGCCCUACGUCCAGCGGGGGAGGAGAGUUUGUGUUAUCUCGCACCUAAGUGCUUGUACAGGGGUGAAUACAAGUGCGGUAUGAAGUGUGUGAGCUCUACUGUGUAUGAUCGUGGUGUUGUGUCGUCCCCGGUUCUAUUCCUGAGUCCCUCCCUUUAUAGCUCCAAGGAGAGACCCAGGGUACAUGUAUAGGCGCCAGAAUAGGAGUCGAUAGCAGCAUGGAGCGCUGACCUACUCGAGGCUUCCGUACCAGCAUGGCCUCGAGCCGUCCCGUCUUGAUAGCCUGGUGAUGAUUACGCGUGCCCCUGCAUUCUGCUCUGCGCGCCGUCUUGUGUUGGUUCAACGGUCGCACGCUUGUACGGUAUGGCGGCAGAUCCGGCGGGGUGGUUGUGGUGUUAUCAGUCGACGCCCUACUCGUCCCCAGGAUGGAACCCUGUUCGGUCGAGGGUCGGACGCCGUGUAAUGUGCCGAUGUCUGGAGUGCUGACCUUGGAUGUCUCGAGGGGGUCCCGAUUAGACGUUCCAUCCUUGUUUCCUGCGUCCUGACAUGCCCUGGGUCGUUUGGUGGGAAGGCUGCAAAAAGAACGAUGGGACAGAUGCCUGUUCCCUAUCACGCCUCUCGUGACCUGUGUGUUAGGUGGGGAAGCGUCAGGCGCAUUUAAUGCCCCGGCUCGCGUGCGCGCGUCAGGCGGCGGGCGGCGUCCUUGCGCUCGACGCCUCCCAGUUCGUGUGAGCCUGUUUCCUAUUCGACGGCAGCUAGCGCUCGACCCCUGAUCGAUUCGCUCGACGCUAUUUCUGUCUUCGAGGUUGUGGACGUUGAAGGCUGCGUAUACGCACGGCCAGAGCUUCGAGUCGAGGGCCUCAUCCUGCGUACGGAUAGUCUUGUUACGUGCAUUGGUGAGGGUACCCCUUAUUGAUACCCUCGACAGUAGCCCCCGAGUCUCCAUUUGAGCGCUGGUGCUCGAGUGGAGGCUUUUACUCUUGGGUCGAGUUUCCGUGGGGGUGCGCGAGCGACCCCGCGGGGGUAGCCCCUGAGCCCUUGAAGGAGUUUUUGACUCCUUCGAGGGUUAUAUUGCCUAUUUUGCAGAAACACUGUCGACACCAGUGGUGGAAGGUUCGGAUUGGCUUGCUUUGUGCGGAGGUUUUGACGUACUCUCGAUAGAGCGAGCGUCUUCCACCCCAGAUCGAGUUCCUAGCGGGUAGUCCAAGUGAGAACCUGUGCCCCUUUCGAUGGGGUCAGCCGUAGCCCGGAGGCGUUCUCAUAAAGCAGGGUCGACGUGGUCGGGGAUACCGGUCUCAUUCGAUAGAGUCCGGCGGCUCGAUGCCUCCCGUCGGGGGGAUUCCUCUCGACUGUCUCGACCCUACCUUGGACAUCGCCAGCGAGUCUUCGAGGCGGGCCUCGAUCUUCGACUGCUCGCUGGGGAUCCCUGACUCCGGUGCUCGAGAUCGGCUGUCGAACCCUUUCGGCGGGCCAGCCAUCGACCCCUCGAGACUCUCGCGGGUACGCCCCUUGGCUUACAAGGGAAGGAAGGGGUCGUGGCGGUUCGCCUUUUUUGCCCGUUGGGCGCGCCUUUUCAGAUGGGUGACGUUACGACACUGCGUUGGCGUGGAAUUCGGAGCGUCCUGCCUGUGAGGGGAAAGAGACGGUUAGGUGGCGCAUUUAUGGGGGGGAGUUACCUCAUUUCCCGGAUCUAUCCGUUAGCGGACUGCUGCCUAUAAAUACGCCAUGACGCCGCUGCGGUUCUUUCUUCUUCCUCCCGCCUUCUCGCCUUCAUCCUCUCGUUGCCUUUGCUCUCUCGCUGCCUUACGCGCGUGCGCACCCCCUCGAGCGGUAGCGGAUCCAUCGUCCUUCCAACCAAGAUGCUUGUGACACUCGUCGCCGCCGACGACUGGCGCCCGUCGUCGAUGACGGAGCGUCGAUUGCUAGAGCUUGAGAAUGAGGGGCUCUUGCGCCGCCGCACCUCGCUGUCGUCGCCAGAGUGGAUCGUGCCGCCGGUGAGUCAUAGGGAGCCCCAGCCGCCCGAAGGCUACGUUGUGUCGUUUGCCAAGUUCCACCGCCACGGCCUGGGCACGCCCCCGAGCCGCUUCAUUGGGGCCCUCUGCUUCCAUUAUGGGGUGGAGCUCCAGCACUUCUCCCCGAACGCCAUCACCAUCAUGGCGGUCUUCGCCACGGUGUGUGAGGGCUAUCUGGGGAUGAUGCCCCACUGGGAUCUGUGGCUCCACCUCUACAGGGGCGAGCUUUUCAACACCCCCACCGGAACCACCGGCGUGAGGAAGCACGUGCGGGCCGGGUGCCUCAACCUGAUGCUGAAAACGAAGAAGACGGAGAGGCCGCGCGAGUAUAUCUUGGUGGGGCUGUCGUCGAACCACGCUGGGUGGGACUCCCAGUGGUUCUACUUGAGGAACGACGAGGGUCUCUUCCCCGCUUACACGGGCCGUCUGAUUACAGAGCGCCCGGACAACUGGACGUACGGCGUCGUCCAAGAGCACCAGUCGCGGCUCGACCCCCUUCUCGACGCCAUGAAGAAGCUGCACCAGGAGGGCCUAUCCGCCGCUCUCGUCCUCUCGGCCGUCCAUCGUCAAAGGGUCCUCCCCUUGAUGUCUCGGCCGUUAAGGAUGGACGAGACGGGGCCGGGCGUCUUGUCCCGGGAUCUCGAGGCUUGCUGGAUGUCUAACGUGGCUCUGGCGAACGAUGAGAUCGCUGCUCGUGUUAGGGCGGCCAUCGCCGGCGACUUUAAGUCGAAGCACGUCAACGUCUUCCCUAUGAGGCCCGACGAAGGGUCGCUGGACCUGGUAUGUUCUUUUCUCGCACAUAGCUCUGAUUCUAGAUUUUCCUCGAUUCUUUUUUAAACUUUCCUUUAUUCUGGCAGGGGCGUAUUGACGUCCGGUCCUCGAGGCCCCCUGUGAAGGAGGAUGAGGUCGAUCGUGACAGGCGGCGCCAGUCCGCCGAAAAGCUGAAGUCCGCCAAGGACUCCGCAAAGAAAGGGGAGAAGAAGAAGAACCUCGACCGCCAAGCAUUGGAGGCGCGUCGAGCCAAAUCUAGGCAAAGGGGGGGGGGCGAGGAAGAAUCCCCCUGCGACGACGAUGAUGACGAUGAGGACAGCGACGACUCUGAGGGGAUGGCGUCGCGUCUCGACCGGAUCCUCGAGGGCCCGCCUCGAGGUGACGUCGACGUCCCCCGAACGGAGACUCCAAAGGAGGGCCCGAGCGGAUCCCACCGCCCUCAGGCCGACACGCCUCCUGCACCCUCGACUGGCCAGGUCGCACCGCGCCCUCCCCCCGCGCCCGCCAAGCGAGAAUUGCUGUGCCAGUGCCAGUGCCUGCACUCGAGGGGCCCGGAGCCUUGACGCGGGGUGGCACGAGGCCCACCGGUCGGGGUACCGGUAGGCGAGCUGUUCUUCCUGUAAGGUAAGCCUUUUGAAGUUGUGAGUCUUGUUUACCCAUUCCCUCGUGUUUCCCCGUACUCUGGUCUUUUCAUGCUCGUUUCCUUCUUUUUAGGCUGAAGCGGACACUCGAGCAGGCCCAACCUUCAAUGGCGAAGAGGCUCAAGGUAGGAGCAGCCUCCAAGGAGCCAGGUUUGUAGUUUGCUUCUGGGUCUUGUGACGUUCUUGUAUCGGUUAUUAUAGUGACCGACCUUUAUUCUUUACUUCACAGGCCCCUCCGACUCUCAACCUUUGGCCGACGCUGGGAGUGCUCAGUCUCGUCCCGAGCCUACUCCGAUGCUGUCGACGCGUGACGAGGCGCCCCGAACUCAGGGGCAGGAAGGAGCCCCCGAGCCUCCCCGAUUGGGUGUCGAGGCGGACCCCAUCACCAUCAGCGACACGUCUGGUGGUAACGAGGCGUCUGGGGACGCCCAACCUAUGGAGGAGGAGGCGUCGACUUCUCUCAUCUCGGGACGGACUCCCUAGCCCGCUGGCCUUCGAGCCCUUGAAGAGCAGAAGGAGAAAAAGACGGAGGGGGAGGAGCGGGAGCGCGAGGCGACGCGGCCGCCACAGGAGCAGCAGCAGCGGCAGCAACAUCAGCAGGAGGAACAGCAGCAGCAGCAGCAGAAGCAGCAGACGCCCGAGGGGCUUCAACAACAGCAGCAGCAGAGGGAACAACAACAGCAGCAUGAGCAGGGGGGGCCAAGAGGAAAGGCCGCAAGGGUCGAAUUUCAAGGUCUGGCCCAACCGGUACCACCGGCGCUGCAAGAGCCCGGCGAUCAGGGGGAAGAUUUGCCGGUGUACGGCCCUCCCACCCCGGCGUGGCUCCUCCCGGGGGCGCCUGCCGCGAUCCGGGCAGAGUCGGGGCGAGCGGAUGGAGUGGUGGCGCUCGCCUGUAUGAUGCGCACCCCCACCGACCCCGAGUCCGAGAUCAAGAGGACGAUCUACGGCAUGGACGGGAUCACCCCAGGGUUCCUCUGGGAGCGUCGAGCGUGGGAGGACCGCUUUCCCUCCGAGGAGGAUGAGAUUGGGUCGUCAGGGAGCAAGGACGGUACCUGGAAGACGGUAGACGACGACGGGCGGUUCCCAUGCCUUGUCGACCUGUUCUUGCGCCACGGGGGCACCCUCGAGACCGUCGAGAAGCUUAUCCGCGGUGUCAAGGCGCGGGCUGAUCGAGAGAUGGAGAACUGGUGCCCCGAUCGGAUUCGUAUCCGGGCAUCCACCGAUCCGUCCGAGCCCAACAUCUUCCUCGAUGACAAGAAGGAGGCCGAGAAGUGGGAACAUGUCGAGGAGCUCCGCCUUUGGAUGAAGCACGUGGUGGGGCUCCUGUCGGACAUCAUCAACAACGGGCUCGGGCCUGCUUAUUUUGUAAGUGUCUUUCAAUCUUUGAUCUCCAUGGAGCCUAUUGGUUUUGUGCUCUAACUGUUCGUCCGCCGGCUCACAGGAUAUGAAGGAGUCCUCCCGCAUCAAGUCGAGCUUCAUCCACGCCACGCGGGGCGGCUGGGAGCAGCUCCCCGUCCUCAAGGAUCAACUCCUCGAGUCGCAGGAGAAACUCCUCAAUUCUUAUAAAGACUGCAUAGCGCUCGAGGAGGAGAAGAAGGCGAGGGAGGCUGCCUUGGUAGAGGCUCGAGAGGCCUCGAAGAAGGCGGAGGAGGAGACGACGCUGCUGCGGGAGCGGGCUCUGACGGUUGAGGAGGCUGCAUCCAGAGCCCGGGAGGAGGCCCUGCCUACAAGAACGUUAUUGCGGACCUGGACAAGGAGAAGGGCCUUCUCAAGACCGACCUGGACUCCCUCCGAGAGUCCUUCCAGAGGAUGAAGGUGGAGCACGUGAAUGGCGAGAUCGCCAGGAGCGCCGCGGAGGAAGCCAAGAAGAAGGCCCUCGAAGAUCUCGAGGCGGAGCGGGCUCAAUCCCGCAGGCUCUCUGACCACGUCGAACGUCUGAAGGGAGAACUGUUGGAGAAGAGUGGGGCCAUUGCUCAGGCUGGCAAGGUGAUCGAGGAUCUCCGCGUCGCCAACACCGAGCUGGCCCGUUCUAACAGAGAGAUCGAGAGGGCCAACACCAGAUUAGUCGGCGAAAACACGGCCCUGGAGGAGAGCGUUCGCGGUACGUUUAUUUUGUCGGAUUUCUUUUUCGAGGUGUGCUCGUUUUUUCCUAAUGUUUCUUGUAUUGGCGUUUGCAGGGCUUAAGGACGAACUCCUAGCGGCCCAAGUCGAGGCCCAUAAUGCUAAGGCCCAGGUCGAGGCGGAGGUUGCUUUGAACCGUCGUGUGCGGACGGCGAUAGACGACCUCUCGACCUCUUGGGAGGUUGAGCCUAUGGACGAGUCGAGGGAGGGAGCUCGAGGCGACGCACUGGUCGACUAGCUGUGCUACUUAGGCGCGACGCUGAGAGAUCGAGUGCGGGACGCCCUCCACAUCGGGGUGAAGCGGGCGAUGGCAGUUGUCUGCUUGGGCUUCUCCUAUGACAUGGAGGUGGUGUCCCACGGCUUCGUCACCGACAUCUCCAAGACCGACGCGGAGAACGAAGAGAGGCUCCACGCCUUGAUCGACGACGCGGAGGCUCCUAGGGAAAGGCUGGCUAAGCUUUUUGAGCCUGAGGUGCUUCCUCCUGAGACUGGCUUGGGCGCAGGCGGGGGUGGUGAGGAUCGUGCCAUGGACUGAGGCCUGCGAGCCUGCGCAGGGUGCCUGGGGCCCCUUGUAUAAUACUUUGUUUAUAUGCUUUUUGAAUGAUACAGUACCUUUUUGUAAUUGCUAAAUGUUUAUUUGUCUUUCUGCUCGAGGUUUUUUUAUUUCUCUUUGCGCCUACGUUUGUAUUCCUUGUUCGAUCUUUCGUAAAAAACAACCUCGAUCGUCUCAAGGGUGAGGAAGUGAGUAGAGUUUCCGUAGCCCGGGGGCGUAGGAGUUCUCAGGCUCGUUGUCCCUCGACCUUUGAGGGGCUCGAGGUGCCUUAGCUACUCGAAUCGUGUAAGGUUUACUAAGUAGGAAGAGAAAUUUUCUUGGCUUUUUUGACGUAUGGGGGGUCGUUCCCCUGGUAGCCCCCGAGGGGGUGUUGACUAUGAUGGGUCAUAGUCGGCGCCCCCUUCUAACGUCGAGAUUAUGACUUGUAAAUCCUUGGUACAAAAAGAAGUUGCUCGAGGGAAAGACUUCAUUUAUUCAUGCAUUCGUUUACAGAGUCUUGGUACAAAAUGUACGUAGGAACGUAAGUUUUGAACUACUAGGGGUAGAAUCGACGUAGCUAUUCGAUGUUCCAUGCGUUGGUGAAGACCGCCACUUCUCGUCCGCUAACUUGUACGUUCCUGGCUUCAAGACCUCGGCCACCACGUACGGGCCUUCCCAUGGCGGGGUCAGCUUGUGGCGUCCUUGAUUGCUCUGCCGUCGUCGUAGGACAAGGUCACCCACGUUUAAGUCCCUCUUUCGUACGUGUUUGUCGUGGUAGCGUCAAAGCUUCUGCUGGUAUCUGGCAGAGUUGAGGAGGGCCAUGUCUCGAGCCUCCUUGUCGAGGGUAUCAACAAGGGGUACCCUCACCAAUGCGUAUAACGAGGCCAUCCGUACGCACGCGCUGCCAUCGACGGCCAUGCGUAUACGCAGCCUUCGACGUCCACAACCUCGAAGACGGAAAUAGCGUCGAGUGAAUCGGUCGGGGCUCGAGCGAUUACUGCCGUCGAAUACGGAAGCGGGCUCGAGCGAACCGAGAGGCGUCGAGCGCAAGGACACUGUCCGCCGCCUGACGCGCGCACGAGAGCCAGGACAUUUAAUGCACCUGACGCUUCCCCACCUAACACUCGGGUCACGGGAGGCGUGAUAGGGAACAGGCUUCUGUCCCAUCGUUCUUUUUGCAGCCUUCCCACCGAACGACCAAGGGCGUGUCAGGACGCGGGAAACAAGGAUGGAAUGUCUAAUCAGGACCCCCUCAAGACCUCCAAGGUCAGCGCUCCAGAUAUCAGCACAUUACACGGCGUCCGACCCUCGACCGAACAGGGUCCCCUCCUAGGGACAAGUUGGGCGUCGACUGACGACACCACAACUACCCCGCCGGAUCUGCCGCCAUACCGUACAAGCGUGCGACCUCAAAACCAGCACGAGGCGGCGGGCAGGGCAGAACGCAGGAGCACGCGUAAUCAUCACCGGGCUAUCAAGAUGGGACGGCUCGAGGCCAUGCCGUACGGAAGCCUCGAGUAGGUCAGCGCUCCAUGCGGCUAUCGACCCCUACUCUAACGUCUACGCAUGUACCCUGGGUCUCUCCUUGGAGCUAUAAAAGGAGAGACUCAGGAAUAGAACGGGGAACACAACACAAGACCACGCUCAUACAUAGUAGAACUCCACACUUCAUACCACGCUUGUAUUCGCCCCUGUACAAGCACUUAGGUGCAAGAUAAUACAAACUCUCUCCCCCCGCUGGACGUAGGGCCUUCUCUUGCCCGAACCAGGAUAAAUCUCUGUGUCUUCUUGCAUCACCAUCCGGGAAAGGGAGCACGCAUACAAAUUUACUCGUUGGUGUGACCCCCCCGGGGGAAAACACCGACAGUUGGCGCGCCAGGUAGGGGCCCUGCGUGUUUUUCAUCGAUUUCCCACUCCUUUCCGGAUGGCUACUCUUGCCUCGCCGUUUCCGCGCUCCACGAUAAUUUGGUUUGGGAGCCUCGAGUUCAUGUCUACGGGCUCCGGCUAUGACAUGAUCUUGCUCUCAGUCAAAGGACCAGGAGGAGCCCGCGUUACGCCAGCACGGUUGAAGGCCCCGAGACGCCCUCACCACCACGCCUCCCCGCCUAAGAAGAGGCGCGGACAGCACCGCCGCGGCCCCUCUGCUUCAGCAUGACCAACAACUCGUGCGAGGCAGGACGUAGGCCACAAGUUGGCAGCACCGUGUGACGGAGCAACAAGCGCGACGACUCAGCACCGCGCGACGACGGGAGGGGACGCGUCUCGCGCGCUCUCCCCCACCGCAGCUAGGCUACUUCCACACGGGUUGUUCUCUCCAAGAGCGGCACUGCCGUUCGGAUUGGACAACGCCGCGGCGUCGCUCGCCAGGGCGAUAUGCCCAAACGCCCAGACGUACGUAGAAAGACCAAUGGCCCUCCCACGUAGCUCUGAAGCGCGGCGGUCGGCGUCCGAGCUGCUGGACCUUUCCCGAGUACGAGGCCUCCGUCGUCUAGGCCCCGAACGAUACUCGAUCACCUCCCUCAGGCAACGAUUGCUGGAGGAAGGACGUGGGUGUUUCUACGCCGCCGAACCGGACUCCGACUCCGAGACAGACAGCUAUGACCCUACGAGGGAAUGCUAUCACAUCGACGGGGCGGUAGAAACCACUGACGAGACACGGGAUGCUGCUGCGGGUGGUCGAGCCCCCGCGGCGCGAGAAGACCCCAGGACACCUGGGAACGACGGACAGGUCGACCCCCCUCCUCAGGAAGACAGAUCCGCGCAGCUCGCGCAGCUGCGGGAGCUCAAGAUGAAGCUCGACGAAGACCGCGAGCGCCUCGUCCUGCUCGAGCAAAUCUUCGAGCAAGACCUGCCCUACCCACCGGGCGGAAGUGUCCGCAGACGCGCUCGAGAGGUACAUCGACAGAUCGUCGGCGACUCAGAGCCAGAGCAACCUGUCAGCCGUUUCCCUCGAGCAGGCCAGAAUGUAGUGGCAGCGACGAUGCUGCUAUGUAACAUGCCAGAGCCGUCAAAUUCCCAGGCCCGACGCAUUCGAGAUGAGGUACAGACAUUGCUCCAGGUGGCGGCGGUUCAACAAGCCGAAAGUUCGGCGUCUCGACGGCGAGGAGCUGCCACAGAGAAGCGCGACGAACAGCCUCUAAACGAAGAGGAGGUGUCAGUCCAUCAACAACCUCCCCCUCGAGGUAGAAAGACCGCUCUCAUCCUCCCCGUCGACAAUCAACGUCGACACGACGCGCGGCACGACAUCAAAGAAAAUCGACGCCCGCCGGCACGGAGACGCGGAAGAGCGCGGUUAUAGUGCGCAUCGCGGUGGGAGAUAUGACAGCGACGAGGACCGGGUGGCCCCCGAGCCACCAGGCCCACGGGUGUUCAGCAGGGCGAUCCACAGCACGCCCCUGCCCAAUCCAUUUCGACCCCCGACCAGCAUCGCGAAGUACAAUGGAGAGACCAAACCAGAGUUGUGGCUGGCCGACUUCAGGCUGGCCUGUCAGCUAGGUGGCGCUCGAGGUGAUGAUCGAGCCAUCAUCAGACAGCUACCCCUUUUCCUCUCCGACACCGCCCGUCGAUGGCUCGAGGAACUCCCUGCCAAUCAGAUCCAUAACUGCGUUGAUCUAGUCAGAGUCUUCGAGGGCAACUUCAAAGGGACCUACAUACGGCCAGGGAACUCGUGGGACCUCAGCAAGUGCAAGCAGAAGUCAGGAGAAACUCUUCGGGAGUAUGCUCGACGCUUCUCGAAGCAGCGCACUGAGCUGCCGCACAUCCCUGACCACGACGUCAUCUUGGCGUUUGUCUCGGGCACCACCAGUCGAGACUUGGUGCGGGAAUUAGGUCGCAAUCGACCUCAGACCGUCGACGAGCUGAUGGACGUAGUAGCCAACUACGCGGCAGGGGAGGAGGCAGUCGGCGCCUUCUUCAGCUCAGAAGGAAGAAAGGCCAAGCAGCCCGUCGAAGAAGAUGGGACCCUCAGUCGAGGCCUCAAAAAGAAUAAAAAGAAGCAGAAAGUUCGGCAGUUCCACCGGGAAGAUUCCGAUGACAACCUUGUCGCCGCCAUGGAUCGAAAGAAGCCUCGAGGCCCUCCGGAUGGAGGCAUCUUUGACAAGAUGUUGGAGGAGCCGUGCCCUUACCAUAAGGGAGGCGCCAACCACAAGCUCAAGGACUAUCGUAUGCUGAGAAAGCAUUUCGACGGUCUGGGGUUCAAAAAAGAUACGCGUGAUGACUCCAAGAAAGAGAAGGCUGGCAGCAAGGAGGACAACAAAGAUGACGACGGCUUCCCCGCCGUCCACGACUGCUACAUGAUCUAUGGCGGGCCCUCGACUCAAUUGACCACGAGGCAGCGCAAAAGGGAGCGUCGCGAAGUCUUUGCAGCAAGAAUGGCGGUGCCCCAAUACCUUAGCUGGUCAAGCACUCCUAUCACUUUCGACCGAGAAGACCACCCCGACAAGGUAGUCGCCCCAGGCGUCUACCCGCUCGUCGUCGACCCCAUCAUCGUUAACACCCGGCUCUCGAAAGUGCUGAUGGAUGGCGGUAGCAGCCUCAACAUCAUCUACCUCGAGACCCUUGACCUCCUUGGCAUAGAUAGAGGGAAGCUCCAACCAAGUGCCGGCGGGUUCCAUGGCGUCGUGCCAGGAAAAAAGGCGCUGCCAGUAGGUCGAAUUGACUUACCGGUCUGCUUCGGCACGGCGGCCAACUUCAGGAAGGAGACCCUCACCUUCGAGGUGGUUGGGUUUCGAGGCACGUACCACGCCAUCAUCGGGCGCCCGGGCUACGCCAAGUUCCUGGCUAUACCCAACUACACCGACUUCAAGCUGAAGAUGCCCGGUCCCAAAGGCGUCAUCACUGUCAGUUCCUCCUUCGAGCAAGCGUACGAGUGCGACGUCGAGUGCGUCGAGUACGGGGAAGCGGUCGAGAACUCCACCGAGCUCACCGCGAAGCUCGAGGCCCUGGCCGCUGAGGCUCCAGAGCCUAAGCGCCACGCGGGCAGCUUCGAGGCGGCGGAAGGAACCAAGAAGAUCCCGCUCGACCCCAACAACUCCGACGGCAAAGUGCUGACGAUCAGCACCGACCUCGACCCCAAAUAGGAAGCUGUGCUCGUCGACUUUCUCCGUGCAAAUGCCGACAUGUUUGCAUGGAGUCCCUCGGACAUGCCAGGCAUACCGAGGGAAGUCACCGAGCACUCCUUGGAGAUUCGAGCCGGUUCCAAGCCAGUGAAGCAGCGGUUGCGCCGAUUCGACGAGGAGAAGCGCAAGAUCAUUGGCGAGGAAGUCCACAAGCUUUUGACGGCCGGAUUCAUCAAGGAGGUUCAUCGUCCUGACUGGUUAGCAAACCCUGUAUUAGUUAAGAAAAAGAAUGGGAAAAUGAGGAUGUGUGUCGAUUAUACUAGUCUGAAUAAAGCAUGUCCAAAAGUUCCCUUUCCAUUGCCACGCAUUGAUCAGAUUGUCGAUUCUACCGCGGGAUGUGAAACCCUUUCUUUCCUUGAUGCAUAUUCUGGUUACCACCAAAUAAAAAUGAAGGAGUCCGACCAGCUCGCGACCUCUUUCAUCACGCCUUUUGGGAUGUAUUGCUACGUGACCAUGCCAUUUGGGCUUCGAAACGCGGGAGCCACGUAUCAACGUUGCAUGCUCCACGUGUUUGGCGAACAUAUAGGGUCCACGGUCGAGGCCUACGUCGACGACAUUGUCGUCAAGUCAAAACGAUGAGGAGACCUAAUCCAGGACCUCGAGAUUGCCUUUAGCUGCUUAUGCACCAGCCGUAUCAAGCUCAAUCCCGAGAAGUGCGUUUUCGGUGUGCCUCGAGGCAUGCUCCUACGUUACAUCGUUUCGCAGCGCGGCAUCGAGGCCAACCCUGAGAAAGUCUUGGCCAUCACGAGAAUGGGGCCGAUCCGAGACAUCAAGGGUGCACAGAGAGUCACGGGGUGCCUGGCGGCUCUGAGCCGUUUCAUCUCGAGACUAGGAGAAAAGGCAUUACCAUUAUAUCGACUCCUAAAGAAGGUCGAGCGUUUUUCUUGGACCCCCGAAGCCGAGGAAGCACUCAAAAGGCUGAAGAAGACGCUGACCUCGGCACCAGUCCUGGUUCCACCUCAACCUGCAGAGCCGCUGCUCCUCUACGUCACGUCGACGACCCAGGUCGUCAGCGCGGCGGUGGUGGUCGAAAGACAAGAGGAGGGUCAUGCGCUGCCGGUCCAAAGGCCGGUCUAUUUCGUCAGCGAGGUGCUUUCGGAGACCAAGGCGCGUUAUCCCCAAAUCCAGAAGUUGAUCUACGCCGUAAUCCUUGCCCGCUGCACGCUGCAGCAUUACUUCCUCGGUCACCCCAUCACGGUGGUUUCGUCUUUCCGUUUAGGAGAAAUAAUCCAGAGCAAAGAGGCCACGGGAAGAAUAGCAAAAUGGUCGGUCGAGCUCAUGAGUGAGACUCUCACUUACGCACCUCGGAAGGCCAUCAAAUCGCAAGCCCUGGUAGACUUCGUCGCGGAAUGGACGGACUCCCAGCUUCCCCCGACUCAGGUCCAGGCGGAGCUGUGGACAAUGUAUUUCGACGGGUCACUCAUGAAAAUGGGGGCCGGGGCCGGCCUGCUGUUCAUCUCACCCUUAGGCGUCCACAUGAGGUAUGUAAUCAGGAUUCAUUUUGCCGCAUCUAACAAUGUCGCAGAAUAUGAGGCCCUGGUCAACGGUCUCAAGAUCGCUAUCGAGUUAGGAGUCCGACGCCUCGACGUCCGUGGUGACUCCCAACUCGUCAUCGACCAAGUAAUGAAAACCUCGAGCUGCCACGACCCAAAAAUGGAAGCGUACUGCAAGGAGGUCCGUCGACUCGAAGACAGGUUCCACGGUCUCGAGCUUGUCCAUGUCGCUCGACGCUACAACGAGGCAGCCGACGAACUCGCCAAGAUCGCAUCGACCAGAGGCACGGUGCCGCCUGAUGCAUUUUCAAAAGAUCUUCACGAGCCAUCCGUCGACCUAGGCACGGGGGCUGGCGUCGACGCCACCACUGCCCAACCAACCAAUGUUGUCGAUACACUCUUGAUGGUGGAAGAGAUGGAUAUAGAACGACGGCCAGGUCGACCAUUCGAUUGGCGCACACCGUUCCUCGACUGCCUUAUCCGCGGCGAGUUGCCAGAAGACAGGUCAGAAGCUCGUCGUAUCGCUCGACGGGCCAAAUCAUAUGUGAUCUAUGGCGAAGACAACGAGCUAUAUCGACGGAGCCCGACGGGGGUCUUACAACGUUGCAUCACUGUGGAAGAAGGCCGAAAACUCCUCGAUGACCUGCACUCGGGGGCUUGCGGUCACCACGCCGCUCCACGGACCCUUGUAGGGAACGCUUUUCGACAAGGCUUCUACUGGCCAACGGCCGUGGCGGACGCCAUCGAGCUCGUACGAUCAUGUCACGGGUGUCAGUUCUACGCCAAGCAGACGCAUCUGCCUGCCCACGCUCUUCAGAUGAUCCCCAUUACCUGGUCGUUUGCGGUGUGGGGGCUCGAUUUAGUAGGACCUCUACAAAAGGCGAAAGGAGGAUUCACCCAUUUGCUGGUGGCCAUUGACAAGUUCUCCAAAUGGAUCGAGGCUCGACCCAUCACCAACAUCCGCUCCGAGCAGGCCGUCCUUUUCUUCACUGACAUUAUCCAUCGGUUUGGGAUCCCCAAUGUCAUCAUCACCGACAACGGCACCCAAUUCACCGGCAAAAAGUUCUUGGACUUCUGCGAUCGGCAUCACAUCCGUGUGAACUGGUCUGCAGUAGCCCACCCUCGAACUAACGGCCAAGUCGAGCGUGCCAACGGCAUGAUUUUGCAAGGACUCAAGCCAAGGAUCUACAAUCGAUUGAAGAAAUUCGGCAAAAAAUGGGUCGAGGAGCUUUCCUCAGUCCUAUGGAGCCUUAGGACAACACCAAGCAGGGCCACAAAAUACACCCCAUUCUUCAUGGUCUACGGCUCUGAGGCUAUCCUCCCCACAGACCUCGUGUAUGGGUCACCUCGACUCAAGGCCUACGACGAGCAAUCGAACAAAGAGACUCAAGAAAACGCGGUCGACCAACUUGAGGAGGCUAGAGACAUGGCCCUCCUCAACUCUGCCAGAUAUCAGCAAAGGCUUCGACGCUACCACGACAAGCAUGUGCGCAAGAGGGACCUCAACGUGGGCGACCUAGUCCUACGACGCCGGCAAAGCAAUCAGGGACGCCACAAGCUGACUCCGCCUUGGGAAGGUCCGUACGUGGUAGCCGAGGUCCUGAAGCCGGGAACGUACAAGCUGGCGGACGAAAAGGGGGCAAUUCUCACCAACGCAUGGAACAUCGAACAACUACGUCGAUUCUACCCCCAGAAGUUCUAAACUUAUGUUCCUGCUUACGCUUUGUACCAAGACUUUGUAAACGAAUGAAUGAAUAAAUAAAGUCUUUCCCUCGAAACAAUUCUUCUUUCUUUGCGCCGAGAAGAUUAAUAAGUCACGAUCUCGACGUUAAAAGGGGGCGCCGACUAUGACCCAUCAUAGUCAGCACCCCCUCGGGGGCUACCAGGGGGACGACACCCCCCCGAGUGUCGAAAAAACCAAGAAGUUUUCUUUUCUUACGUAGUAAACCUUGCACGGUUCGGGUAGCUAAGACACCUCGAGCCCCUCAAAGGCCGAGGGACAACAAGCUGGAGAACUCCUACGCCCCCGAGCUACGGAAACUCUACUCGCUUCCCCACCAUUGAAGUGAUCGAGGUGGUCUUUUACGAAAAAUCGAGCAAGGGAUACAAACGUAGGCGCAAAGAGAAACGAAAGCAUCAAGUGGAAAGACAAAAUAAGCAUCUAACAAUUACGAAAGUGAUACAGCAUCAAUUACCCAAAGAAUUAACAAAGUAUUGUACAAGGGGCCUCAGGCGCCCUGAGCAGGCUCGCAGGCCUCAGUCCGCGGCACGAUCCUCACCGCUCUCGCCUCCGCCCGAGCUAGCCUCAGGAGGGAGCACCUCAGGCUCGAAAAGCUUGGCCAACCUUUCCCCAGGAGCCUCCGCGUCGUCGAUCAAGGCAUGGAGCCUCUCCUCGUUCUCUGCGUCGGUCUUGGAAAUGUCGGUGACGAAGCCAUGGGACACCACCUCCAUGUCGUAGGAGAAGCCCGAGCAGACAACCGCCAUCGCCCGCUUCACCCCGAUGUGGAGGGCGUCCCGCACCCGAUCUCGCAGCGUCGCGCCUAUGUAGCACAACUGGUCGACCAGGGCGUCGCCUCGAGCGUCCUCCCUCGACUCAUCCAUAGGCUCGACCUCCCAAGAGGUCGAGAGAUCACUUAUCGCCGUCCGUACUCGACGGUUCAAAGCAACCUCCGCCUCGAGCUGAGCCUUGGCGUUGCGAGCCUCGGCUUGGGCGGCCAGGAGCUCGUCCUUGAGCCCUGUAAAAGCCAAUACAAAGAGACCUUAGGAAAAACUAAGCACACCUCGGAAAAAGAAAUCUGAUAGAGGAAACAUACCGCGUACGGUCUCCUCGAGGGCCGUGUUCUCGCCGACCAGCCUGGUGUUGGCCCCCUCGAUCUCUUUGUUGGAGCGUGCCAGCUCGGUGUUGGCAACGCGGAGAUCUUCGAUCGCCUUGCCAGCCUGAGCAAUGGCCCCACUCUUCUCCAGCAAUUCUCCCUUCAGACGCUCGACGUCGUUAGAGAGACUGCGAGAUCGAGCCCACUCCGCCUCGAGAUCUUCGAGGGCCUUCUUCUUGGCUUCCUCCGCGGCGCCCCUGGCGACCUCGCCGUUCACAUGCUCCACCUUCAUCUUUCGGAAGGACUCUCGGAGAGAGUCCAGGUCGGAUUUAAGGAGGCCCUUCUCCUUGUCCAGAUCCGCGAUAACGCUCUUGUAGGACCGGGCUCUGGACGCGGCUUCCUCGACCGUAAGAGCCCGCUCCCGUAGCUGCAUCGUCUCCUCCUCCGCCUUCUUCGAGGCCUCUCGGGCCUCAGCCAGGGCAGCCUCCCUCGCCUUCUUCUCCUCCUCGAGUGCUAUGAGAUCUUUGUAAGCUUUAAGGAGCUUUUCCUGCAACUCGAGGAGUUGAUCCUUGAGGACGGGGAGCUGCUCCCAACCGCCCCUCGUGGCGUGUAUGAAGCUGGACUUGAUGCGGGAGGUCUCUUUCAUAUCCUGCGAAUCGAGAGUCGGAUGGAUUAGAAUACAGAAACCAGAAAGCACCAUGAGGAUUGGAGUUCGAAAAACACUUACGAAAUAAGCCGGGCCGAGCCCGUUGUUGAUAACGUCCGAGAAGAGCCCCACCACAUGCUUCAUCCAAAGGCGGAGCUCCUCGACGUGUUCCCACUUCUCCGCCUCCUUCCGAUCGUCGAGGAAGAUGUCGGGCUCAGACGGGUCGUGGGAGGCCCGAAUACGGAUGCGGUCGGGGCACCAGUGCUCCAUCUCCUGGUCAGCCCGCGCCUUAACGCCGCGGAUGAGGCCCUCGACGGUCUCGAGGGAGCCCCCAUGGCGCAGGAACAGGUCAAUGAGGCAUGGGAACCGUCCGUCGUCGUCCACCGUCUUCCAGGUUCCAUCCUUGGUCCCCGAUGCCCCAAUUUCAUCCUCCUCAGAAGGAAAGCGGUCCUCCCACGCCCGACGUUCCCGGAGGAACCCUGGGGUGAUCCCGUCCAUGCCGUAGAUCGUCCUCUUGAUAUCGGACUCGGGGUCGGGGGGUGUGCGCUUCAGGCUGGCGAGCGCCACCACCCCAUCCGCUCGCCCCGGCUCUGCCCGGAUCGCGGCACGUGCCCCCGGGAGGAGCCACGCCGGGGUUGGGGGGCCGUACACCGGCAGGUCCUCCUCCUCGCCGAGCUCUUGCAGCUCCGGUGGCACUGGCUGGGCCGAACCUUGGGGUGGAGGCUCGAACGGUCCUUCCUCUUGGCCCGCCUGCUGCUGCUGCAGUUGCUGCUGCGGUGGUUGCUGCUGCUGCUGCGGUUGCUCCUGCGGUUGUUGCUGUUGCUGCUGCUGCUGUUGCUGCUGCUGCUGUUGCUGCUGCUGCUGCUGUUGUUGUUGCUGCUGUUGCUGUGCCUCAUGCUCCUGCGCCUGCCGCGCCGCCUCGCGCUCCCGCUGUUCAUCCUCCUCCCUCUUCUUCUUCUGCUCCUCGAGGGUGCGGAGGCCGGCGGGCCAGGGAGUCGAUCCCGCGACGUUGGGGGUCGACGCUUCCUCCUCCAUAGGGCGAGUGCCCCCAGACGCUUCGUUACCAUCGGACGUAUCGCUGAUGGUGAUGGGUUCCCCCUCGACCCCCAAUCGAGGGGGCUCGGGGGCUCCCUCUGACGCUUGCGUCCGGGGCACCUCGUCACGAGUCUGCGGCGACGGAGUAGGCGCGGGACGAGACGGAGCCCCCUCGACGCCGGCUGGAGGUUGGGAGCUGGAGGAGCCUACGAAACAAAGGGUAAGGGUCAGACGUUAUGAUAACCGACACGAGAACAUCGCAACGCCCAGAAAUAAACUACGAACCUGGUUCCUUGGAGGCGGCACCCGUUUUGAGCCUCUUUGCCACGGACGGUUGGGCCUGCUCAAGGGUCCGCUUUAACCUGAGAAAAGGUUGGCAUAUGAGGAAAGGUGGAAGAAUGGGAAGACAAAAACCGCAACAUCAAAAAGGCUUACCCCACAGGGAGAACGGCUCGCCUCCUGCCUCCCCGACCAGUGGGCCUCGAGCCAUCCCGCGUCAGGGCUCCAGGCCCCUCGAGGGCAGGCGCUGCCUUAGGCGCGUCGGUCCCUGCCUGGCGGGCGCCGGGACUGGCGCUCCUACGGCCGGCAUCUCCUUUCUCAAAGGCCGCGGCGCAACCAUGAGUUAGUGGCCCCGACGCCGGGGGCCUAGCCAGACCGCUCUCCCUGGGCACCGGGGGAGGGCGCGGUGCGUCUUGGCCCGCCUUGGGCGCGGGAGGGGUGUCGGCCCGGGGGCAACGAGAUCUGCUCGGACCCUCCUCUAGCGCCUCCGUCCGGGGAGCGUCGACGUCACCUCGAGGCGGGCCCUCGAGAAUCCGAUCGAGGCGCGACGCCAUCCCCUCGAAGUCGUCGCUGUCCUCGUCGUCAUCGUCAUCAUCGUUAGGGGAUUCUUCCUCAGGCUCCCCCCUCUGCCUGGAUUUGGCUCGACGCGCCUCUAAUGCUUGGCGGUCGAGGUUCUUCUUCUUCUCCCCCUUCUUUGCAGAGUCCUUGGCAGACUUUAGCUUUUCGGCAGAUUGGCGCCGUUUGUCACGAUCGACCUCGUCCUCCUUUACCGGAGGCCUCGAGGACCGGACAUCAAUCCGACCCUGCCAAAACUAAGGUAGACUUAGAAAAAAGAGAGGGGAGAAAGGAAACCCAGAAUCGAGGCUGCGCGCAAGAAGAAAGUGUACCAGAUCGAUCGAGCCUGCGUCAGGUCUCAUGGGGAAGCCGUUAACGUGCUCCGGCUGAAAAUCACCGGCAAUUGCAGCCCUGACUCGGGCCGCGACUUCAUCGUCCGCCGGAGCCUCAUUGGACAUCCGACACGCCUCGAGGUCCCGAGAUGAGACGCCAGGGCCCAUCUCGUCCAUCCUCAACGGUCGAGACAUCAAAGGUCAAACCCUCCUGGCGAAGCUUCUUCAGGGCGUCGAGGAGGGGGUCGAGCCGAGAUUGAUGAGCUUGGACGACGCCGUAUGUCCAAUCCGCUGGACGCUCCAUGAUCAGACGGCCCGAGUAGGAAGGCAGGAGGUUGUCAUCGUUCCGCAGGUAAAACCACUGGGAGUCCCAGCCGGCGUGGUUGGUCGAUAACCCUACCGGGAUGUACUCCCGCGGCCUGUCUGUCUUCCCCGUCUUCUACACCAGAUUGAGGCAUCCCGCCCGCACGGGCUUCCUUACGCCCGUGGUUCCGGUAGGGGCAUGGAAAAGCUCGCCCCUGUAGAGGUGGAACCACAGCUCCCAGUGCGGCAUCAUCCCUAAGUAGCCCUCACACGGCGGCGAAGACCGCCGCUACGGUGAUGGCGUUCGGAGAGAAGUGCUGGAGCUCCACCCCAUAAUGGAAGCAGAGGGCCCGCAUGAAGCGGCUCGGGGGCGCGCCCAGACCGUGGCGGUGGAACUUGGCGAACGACACCACGUAGAUCUCGGGCGGCUGAGGCCCCCUGUGACUCGCCGGCGGCGCGAUCCACUCUGGCGACGAUAGCGAGGUACGGCGGCGCAGCAGUCCCUCUUUCUCAAGCUCUAACAACCGGCGCUCCGUCAUCGACGACGGGCGCCAGUCGUCGGCGGCGAUGAGUCUUACAGGCAUCUCGGCUGGAGGGACGGUAGAUUCACUACUGCUCGAGGAGGCGUGUGCGCGUGAGACGGCGAGAAAGCAAAGGCAACGAGAGAAUAAAAGCGAGAAGGCGGAAGGGAGAGGAACGGCGGCGACGCCACGACGUAUUUAUAGGCAGCGGUCCGCCAACGGACAGAUCUGAGAAAUAAGGUAACUCCCUCCCAUAAAUGCGCCGUCUAACGGUUCUUUCUCUCCUCACAGGCCGGACGCUCCGAAUUCCCCGCCGAUACAGUGUCGCAAUGUCACUUACCUCAAAAGGUGCGCCCAACGGGCAGAAAGACGAACCGGCACGGCAGUUUCCUUACUUCGUAAGCUAAGGUAUGCGCCCACGAUAGUCUCGAGAGGUCGAUGGCUGGCCCGUCGAAAGGGUUCGACAGCCGAUCUCGAGCACAAAGAGUCAGGGAUCCCCAGCGAGUGGCCGAAAAUCGAGGCCCACCUCGAGGACUCACUGGCGAUGUCCAAGGUAGGGUCGAGACAGUCGAGAGGAAUCCCCCCGAAGGGAGGCAUCGAGCCGCUGGACUCUAUCGAAUGAGACCGGUAUCCCCGACCACGUCGACCCUGCUUUAUGAGGACGCCUCCGGGCUACAGCUGACCCCCUCGAAAGGGGCACAGGUUCUCACUUGGACUACCCGCUAGGAACUCAACCUGGGGUGGAAGACGCUCGCUCUAUCGAGAGUACGUCGAAACCUCCACGCAAGGCAAAGCCGAACAGAACCUUCCACCACGGGUGUUGACAGCGUUUCUGCAAAUUUGGCAAAAUCACCCUCGAAGGAGUUGAAUACUCCCUCGAGGGCUCGGGGGCUACCCCCGCGGGGUCGCUCGCGCGCCCCCGUAGAAGCUCGACCGUAAAAACGAAAGUCUCCACUCGAGCGCCAGCACUCGAAUGAAGACUCGGGGGCUACUGUCGAGGGUAUCAACAAGGGGUACCCUCACCAAUGCGUAUAACGAGGCCAUCCGUACGCACGCGCUGCCAUCGACGGCCAUGCGUAUACGCAGCCUUCGACGUCCACAACCUCGAAGACGGAAAUAGCGUCGAGCGAAUCGGUCGGGGCUCGAGCGAUUACUGCCGUCGAAUACGGAAGCGGGCUCGAGCGAACCGAGAGGCGUCGAGCACAAGGACACUGUCCGCCGCCUGACGCGCGCACGAGAGCCAGGACAUUUAAUGCACCUGACGCUUCCCCACCUAACACUCGGGUCACGGGAGGCGUGAUAGGGAACAGGCUUCUGUCCCAUCGUUCUUUUUGCAGCCUUCCCACCGAACGACCAAGGGCGUGUCAGGACGCGGGAAACAAGGAUGGAAUGUCUAAUCAGGACCCCCUCGAGACCUCCAAGGUCAGCGCUCCAGAUAUCAGCACAUUACACGGCGUCCGACCCUCGACCGAACAGGGUCCCCUCCUAGGGACAAGUUGGGCGUCGACUGACGACACCACAACUACCCCGCCGGAUCUGCCGCCAUACCGUACAAGCGUGCGACCUCAGAACCAGCACGAGGCGGUGGGCAGGGCAGAACGCAGGAGCACGCGUAAUCAUCACCGGGCUAUCAAGAUGGGACGGCUCGAGGCCAUGCCGUACGGAAGCCUCAAGUAGGUCAGCGCUCCAUGCGGCUAUCGACCCCUACUCUAACGUCUACGCAUGUACCCUGGGUCUCUCCUUGGAGCUAUAAAAGGAGAGACUCAGGAAUAGAACGGGGAACACAACACAAGACCACGCUCAUACGUAGUAGAACUCCACACUUCAUACCACGCUUGUAUUCGCCCCUGUACAAGCACUUAGGUGCAAGAUAAUACAAACUCUCUCCCCCCGCUGGACGUAGGGCCUUCUCUUGCCCGAACCAGGAUAAAUCUCUGUGUCUUCUUGCAUCACCAUCCGGGAAAGGGAGCACGCAUACAAAUUUACUCGUUGGUGUGAACCCCCUGGGGGAAAACACCGACACUCCUCAAGCUGGUCGACAGCACUCUCUUGAGCUUCCUUAUUCGACUGCUCGUUGUACGCCUUGAGUCGAGGAGAUCCAUACUCGAGGUCCGUUGGGAGCACGGCCUCAGAGCCAUAGACCAUGAAGAACGGGGUGUAUUUGGUGGCCCGGCUUGGCGUCGUCCUCAAACUCCAUAAGACCGAGGAAAGUUCCUCGACCCACUUCUUGCCGAAUUUCUUUAGGCGAUUGUAGAUCCUUGGUUUGAGCCCUUGCAAGAUCAUGCCGUUGGUGUUGACGGUCCUUAAGUAUCAAAUUUAAUUAUCAAAUAAAUAAAGAAAAGGAUCCAAAUGAAAUAAAGAUCUAGACUUAGGGUUUUAUCUAACAGAAUUCCACGAGUUUUGGUGUUUGUCUAUUUCUGCAGGGAGUUAUCAGGAAAUAUGGAAGAAAGGCCCACAUGUCAGGAUUACGUAAAGAUAUUAACGUGCUACGCAAUUAUCUUACAUCUAGAAGACUCCAGAAGCCACGAGACCGAAGCGGAGGCGAAACGGGGCCAGACCCUGGGCGGCCGCCCAGUUGGUCAGGGCGCCCGCCCACCUCUGGAGUCUAAUCAGGACUCUGCUUUGCGGGAAGUCUCCACCGACCUAAAGGAUGAAUCUAAACCAAGGGCCCAUAUUCACUUGAAGGGACUACAAAACCAGACCCCCUGGCCCCUGGAGGAGAGAGCCUCUCAACCCUAUUUCAUUGUUCCAUCAAGGGAGAAGAAGCCUCUGAUCAAGAUUAGAGCCACCACAUCAAUUAGAUAUCUAGAUUAGCAUAGCUACAUAGGAUUAGAACUAGAAGGAGUCAAUCUUCGAUUGGUUUCCGGAUCUGUCAGGAGGAUUCUUGGUAAUUCUCUAAUUGUGCUUCUAAUUGCUUUCUAAUUAUCUUUGUUCUUCAAUAUUAUGAAUAUGACUUUGUUCUACUUCAAUAUAUUGCUUAUGACUUUGCUCUACUUGCUUAUAUUCAAGAUUAUAUUGUUCUUAGUUUAUCAUAGUUAUGUACUUGGCUUAGUUAGAUACGAUCUAUAUACAUGCUUAGGAUCGUAUAGCGUUUAUCCAUCGGAUCCAUGGGUAAAUGAUAGAUAUUGUGUAGGCGUGGUGCUUAUACCGUAUUUAUCUGCGAUUGUACCCAAUAUGCCAGAUCGUGGGGUAAUUCGUGAUAGUGACAGCUUCAUUGAUUCUUAUAUAGUCCCCCUCUCGUGUAUUGGGCUGGCAGAGCAACAUUAUUACAGGGGAGUGAUUGCUAUGUUUCUCAUAUUCCUUGCUAAUAUCACUAUGCAUGGGCGUAGUCUUGUCUCACAAUGAUUGCUAAGUAUGCUUGCACUAACUAUGAUAUGCUAGACUAUAUAGUUAAGAAUAACUUAGGGAAUAUUCUUGUAGUUCGUUAUAAUACCAUGCUAAUGACUUUCUAGAGUAUCUAAUUGAGGUGCUUAUCAUAUUUAUUAUGUGGCUAGAUCAGAUUAGUUAUCCUUGUCACUAUUAUUAUUUCAUAUAUCUUUUAUGUGACACUUAUCCCUGUAUGAAGAGUUAGAUAUAAUGUUCUCAAUUAUACAUGCAAUGAUAGUUGCUCAAUCUCAUAUUCUAUUCUGUAAUCAAUAGUGAUGAUUGCUAAUCCCUUCCCAGUGGUAAAAAUAUAAAUAACGAUACCUGGAAUACUUCCCGGUUAAAAUGCUGCAUCGGUAUUAAUCUGUGCGCUUGCAGAUCCCAUUCAUUAUUUAUUUAGAAGAGCAAUUGCAUAUUUCAAUACCACGUCUCUUAUAUCAUGCUGGGGAUGACAACUUGGCUUAAGUGGUGUGAGGGAUAGGUUUGGCAUUUUUGGCACCGUUGCUAGAUUUAGAGAACUUAGUCUACUUUUAGUAAUGAUGUUAAGAAUACCCAACAAGCAUUUUUGGCGUCGUUGCCGGGGAAGGUUGAUUACCAAUCAGGAAUGGAAUAAAAGAUUUUGAGUCAUCAUUCGCAUCACUAAUAUGAUUGAGCUUAUCUAUUCUCUCAUACAGUUUUACCCCGAUAUUUUUCUAUUUUAUCUUAUGCAGGGGAAUGUAUGAAUAGAAGACAUCUUCCAGGGAAUUUUGUUGACGAUCCCGAAGCAUUAUUCAAGAAGACGAGAGCCAAGCUAAAGAAAUCAUCAACACUUCACGAAGAAGCUUCAUCCAAUCAAGAAGAUCACCGAAACUUGUCUUCAGAGUUCGAAGCCAUGGCGAACAAAUCAAUCCGCGAGUUCUCAGCUCCCACUACGGACAACAUCCGCACUGGACCUGCUGCAGAGAUCGAUGGCAACUUUGAGCUCAAGCCUGGACUUAUCAACAUGGUGCAAUCCAACCAGUUCUGUGGGAAGGCACAUGAAGAUGCUAGUGCUCAUUUACAACACUUCCUGGAGAUUUGCAACACAUUCACCAUAGCAGGAGUUUCUAAAGACGCUAUACUACUUCGCCUCUUUCCUUUCUCACUGUUAGGAAGAGCGAAGCAGUGGUUCUACGCUACAAAGGAGAAGAAUACUACGUGGGCACUCUGCUCAACAAACUUCCUGGCUAAGUUCUUUCCCAUGGGCAAGACCAAUGCUCUAAGUGGGAAGAUUACAAGUUUUCAGCAACAAAAUGAUGAAUCUGUUCCAGAAGCAUGGGAGCGCUUUCAAGACUACAUCCUAGAAUGUCCCCAUCAUGGAAUGGAGAGUUGGCUAUUGAUGCAGACAUUCUAUCAUGGGCUCAGCAACAGUGCCCGAGAGACUAUGGAUGCUGCAGCUGGAGGAGCAUUCUUAUCACUUACUAUACCACAAGCCACAGCUCUUGUGGAGAAGAUGGCGUCCAACCAAAGCUGGAAUGAAGAGAGGAGCCAGACACGCAAGAGAGGUGGAGGUAUGCAUCAGCUAAAGGAGGUAGACAUGCUGUCUGCAAAGCUAGACCUGCUCAUGAAGAAGCUCGAUAAUAAAGCUGGAGAUAAGAAGGAAGUUAUGCACAUCUACGACUCUCACAUGACUUGUGAGGAGUGUGGAGACACUGGACACUCAGGCAACCACUGCCCUGAGAUACUUGAGGAUGUGAACUACAUCAACAACAACAACAACUACCACAACUGUCCUCAACAAAAUCAAGGUUGGAAUCAACAGAGGCCUAACUACUCAGGUAAUUAUCAAGGUAACAAUUCUUACAACAAUAAUAAUAAUUUUCCACCUUUGAGAGAGUUAGUGUCUAAUCAAGGAAAGCUAAUGGAUAACCUGUCUAAGAAAUUGGCAUCUAAUGAUAAAAUGCUAGAAAAUAUAAAUAAUAGAAUGGAUAAUUUUUCUACUGCCAUCAAGAAUCAAAUUAGCUUUAAUAAAAUGAUUGAAUCUCAGUUAAAUCAAAUAGCUGCUGCUGUUCCUACUACUAACCCCGGUAUACCAUCACAACCGGAAGGAUUAGAAUCUGCAAAUCUUGUAGACAUGUUUGAUACAGGUAAUUGGAGUAACCCCGUCACUGAAUUUUCUACUGACCGUCUGCCGGUCAAGAGAGGCGAUCCAGGACGCCCCGUCAUCCCGAUCUCCAUCGGCAUGGUGGAUGUCCCAGAAGCACUCUGUGACUUUGGCUCCAGUGUCAACAUUAUACCCAGGGUACUCUAUGAAAAAUUCUUUACAUAUCCUUUAUUAGAAACAACCAUGUGUUUGCAGUUUGCAGAUCAGACGAUAACUUUUCCGAAAGGAAUAGUGAGGAACCUUUGUGUUCGAGUUGGUACCUUGUAUGCCCCAGCAGACUUCGUAGUGGUAGAGACCGGAAAUGAUGAGAGAGCACCUAUCAUUCUAGGGAGGCCAUUCUUGAACACCACGGGAGCUAUCAUCUACGCCAGUGCUGCUAAGAUCAGUUUCUAUGUCAAAGGGAAGAAGGAGACAUUUUUCUUCAAGAACAAGACUACACAAAUUCAAGAUCAAUCCAGACGUGAAUCAAGGAAGAGGACCAACAGGAGGAACAGGAACAAGCAAGUGUGGACCGAGUCAGCUAAGAUGGUCACUGCAGUUCAUGGAGGCCAAGAUCACCACCUUAAGUCACCACUUUUGACCAAGAAGGAUGACCCAGGAAUGCCAAGCAUUUACUGCUCCAUACAUGGAUAUAGCUUCUACAAUACAAUUUGCGACACCGGAUCAGGCGUCAACAUAAUGGCCGCAGUCACCUAUCGGCUCUUGUUCGGGACCAUGUCACUAAGACCAACAUACAUUCAGCUCCAGAUGGCAGAUCAGACAUUUCGAGAAGUCAAAGGAACAGUAACUGAUGUCCCAGUCAAAGUAGACGAUCACUUUGUCUACACAGACUUUCAAGUUGUUGACAUGGGAGAAGACGAGUAUGAUCCACCCAUCAUCCUUGGAAGACCGUUUCUCAGCACCAUUAAAGCCAUUAUCUACAUUGGAACCGGAGAAGUCCAUAUGCACUUCCCCUCAGAGAAGGUACGCCGUUACUUUACUGACCCUAACUAUAUUGUUGAAGAAUCUAAGCAGGUCAGAAAGAGACGCAACCGCAACCAGAGGAGGCAAAUCAUUAAGGAUGGAUGGGCAGACUAUGAAAGAGAAGUUGUAAGGUCAGAAGACGUAGAGUUUAAACAGAAUUAUCCAGAGGAGAUUGAAGCACCGAGUCAGGUAUGGAAAAUGAAGAUAACUAUACAAGAAGAGGAGGCGCUGCCGGAAGUACCGACUACGCCACCCAACGAACCUCAGGACGAUUAAGAAAUUGGAGAGUCCCGUUCGGAGGACUUAAAAACACCGAACGCCUUGCCAAGAGGUAAACUUGGUAGUUAUCCUUUCCCUUUCAAUUAUUUCAAAUAGUGUACUUAGUUAAUCAUGUUCAUACUAUCUUAAAAAAAAGAAAAUAAAAAUGUGAAGAAACUGUAAGCCCCAUGUGAGUAGACGAGUGGCAUAAAACCCAUAAGUAUAUUCACUGUGGUGGCAUAAAACUAAAAUAAAUAUUUUUUUGCUUUAUAAAGACAAAAAUAUAAAAACAGGGAGUAACAAUUAUUAAGGAGUCUCAAGAUAAUGAAGGCUAUAUAUUUAUGCUAACACUUAAUCAGUUCCACAAGCUUUGUUGUCUAUUUGAGCUCCACAGAAUUUAAGAAUCAAGAAGACUAGCAGAAGGAGGACAUUCUAAUCGCUGUCAGAAGCUGCUGACUUUCAAAUACACCUCUGCCACCUGCUAGCUACAUCAAGAGAAAUUACGUCAAAAUUCAGCUUGGGGGAGAGCACCCCCAUUUAUAUGGAUAAGUAUUUCUAUCUAUCUAUCUUUAUACUUAUAUUAUUUUAGAAUAUUAAUACACAUAAACUAUGGGAAAACCAAAUAAAGAUUUUAUGCUUAUAUAUAUAUAUUACUUAGUGUGUUUAAUAAAUAAAUAAAGUGGCUAUGCUAAUCUGUAUCUAAUAAAACUUAAGCAUGGAUAUGAUGAAUAGUUGCUCUGCCUAAUUUGCACAUUUUAAGUUCUCUCUCAAGUUUAGACAUAACUGUUAUAAUUUAAAGCUUGCUCUAGACCUAAACUUGUGGGAUGAAAACUUGAUCUGAAGUCUAAGUUGUUAACGGAUACGAUAUGGGAAGGUUGAGCUGCUGUUUAUCUAUUCCUAGAGAUGCUAGAAUUCUGGAGAAUUUAUCUUUGAAAAUCUUUAAAAUGUUGCAUGAUGAGUUCCUGUAUGAUGAGAGUUUAAAUUCCUACCACAGCCAUAUAUACAUGCUUGCUAGACUUUGAGCCACACAUUUACUAUUUACUGCUUAUUAGCAUUGAGUGUGGUCAAGCUGUGUAGACCCUUAGGAGCUUGUCAUGUGGUUAAAUCAAGAUUUCACUUGUACGUUCACUCAUAUAUGCUACUUCUAUUCUGGAAGUACCAUCCACAUAUAUCCAUCCAUUCCAUCUCCAGAACCACCUGAAAAUAUUCUACUCCUAAUCCGGGAGAGAAUAACCAAAAAUAUUUCUGUUUUCCCCUUGUGAAAUAAAUGCUCAAGUUAUCUUGUUACUACCACUUGCUAUAUUAUCUCAAGAGAUGAGUGCUCUAAAAAAAAGAAGAAAAUAAUACGAGGAAAUAAAAAGGAGCAAGUGCUCGGAACCUCAAAAGAAAAGAAAAAGUGAGACAAGAGGUAAAAAUGGACAAGUGUCCGACAGUAGAAUUAGGGGUGCAAGAUACCCACCUGAGAGAAAAGAAAAAGAAGAGCAUCUCAUUCUCCUCAUAAAGUUUCAAAAGCAAGGAAGGUAUGUAUCCCCUCAAAAGAGCAAAGUAGAAUUAGACUUUCACCACCAUUGUUUUCACCAUUGUUUUCACCAUUGUUUUCACCAUUGUUAUCACCAUCAUCACCAUAUACCAUUCAUUCGCCACACAUGCACAUCUUGAUUAAACUUAUUGACUUGUUACUUUGGAUCCAUGGUUUGACUAUGCAAUAAAUGUCUUGUAAGUAUGUAUACUUUAUCUCCCACCUAUGAGCUCCAGAUAUUAAAGCCUUAUUAGAAUAGGGUGAGAGAGAAGGCAAUGUCAUUAUGCUUUAUACCACAAAUACCACAUAUCUUGAGAGAAGGCAUAUACCAUCAAUGCCUUGGUAAGGAUCCAAAAAUACCACAAAAGAGAGACCUGAGAGAAUCAUACAUGGAAUUCUGAGUUUUAUUUGAAAAUCUGCAAAAAUCCCAGAGCUAUAGCUGAUCAAGAAUAAGAGACAUGGCACUUGGCUAGACUGUUCUAUCUUUUAACCACUCAAGACAGAAGUGACAGUUACAAGUCCCAUGGUGAAGGUAAAGUAAGUAAGUUUUAAGUCUUGACAGUUUACUCUAACUCAGAGAUGAGAUCUUAUUUAAAAGCAUGUGUACCGUCAAAUUUUUUAAGAUAUUGCAACUACUUAUGAUCCAUAGCUGAGUCUAUCCUUGCUCAGGGACGAGCAAGAGGUAAGCUUGGGGGAGUUUGUUGACGGUCCUUAAGUAUCAAAUUUAAUUAUCAAAUAAAUAAAGAAAAGGAUCCAAAUGAAAUAAAGAUCUAGACUUAGGGUUUUAUCUAACAGAAUUCCACGAGUUUUGGUGUUUGUCUAUUUCUGCAGGGAGUUAUCAGGAAAUAUGGAAGAAAGGCCCACAUGUCAGGAUUACGUAAAGAUAUUAACGUGCUGCGCAAUUAUCUUACAUCUAGAAGACUCCAGAAGCCACGAGACCGAAGCGGAGGCGAAACGGGGCCAGACCCUGGGCGGCCGCCCAGUUGGUCAGGGCGCCCGCCCACCUCUGGAGUCCAAUCAGGACUCUGCUUUGCGGGAAGUCUCCACCGACCUAAAGGAUGAAUCUAAACCAUACAAUCUAUGUCGGUUUGAUCCAAGGGCCCAUAUUCACUUGAAGGGACUAUAAAACCAGACCCCCUGGCCCCUGGAGGAGAGAGCCUCUCAACCCUAAUUCAUUGUUCCAUCAAGGGAGAAGAAGCCUCUGAUCAAGAUUAGAGCCACCACAUCAAUUAGAUAUCUAGAUUAGCAUAGCUACAUAGGAUUAGAACUAGAAGGAGUCAAUCUUCGAUUGGUUUCCAGAUCUGUCAGGAGGAUUCUUGGUAAUUCUCUAAUUGUGCUUCUAAUUGCUUUCUAAUUAUCUUUGUUCUUCAAUAUUAUGAAUAUGACUUUGUUCUACUUCAAUAUAUUGCUUAUGACUUUGCUCUACUUGCUUAUAUUCAAGAUUAUAUUGUUCUUAGUUUAUCAUAGUUAUGUACUUGGCUUAGUUAGAUACGAUCUAUAUACAUGCUUAGGAUCGUAUAGCGUUUAUCCAUCGGAUCCAUGGGUAAAUGAUAGAUAUUGUGUAGGCGUGGUGCUUAUACCGUAUUUAUCUACGAUUGUACCCAAUAUGCCAGAUCGUGGGGUAGUUCGUGAUAGUGACAGCUUCAUUGAUUCUUAUAUAGUCCCCCUCUCGUGUAUUGGGCUGGCAGAGCAACAUUAUUACAGGGGAGUGAUUGCUAUGUUUCUCAUAUUCCUUGCUAAUAUCACUAUGCAUGGGCGUAGUCUUGUCUGACAAUGAUUGCUAAGUAUGCUUGCACUAACUAUGAUAUGCUAGACUAUAUAGUUAAGAAUAACUUAGGGAAUAUUCUUGUAGUUCGUUCUAAUACCAUGCUAAUGACUUUCUAGAGUAUCUAAUUGAGGUGCUUAUCAUAUUUAUUAUGUGGCUAGAUCAGAUUAGUUAUCCUUGUCACUAUUAUUAUUUCAUAUAUCUUUUAUGUGACACUUAUCCCUGUAUGAAGAGUUAGAUAUAAUGUUCUCAAUUAUACAUGCAAUGAUAGUUGCUCAAUCUCAUAUUCUAUUCUGUAAUCAAUAGUGAUGAUUGCUAAUCCCUUCCCAGUGGUUAAAAUAUAAAUAACGAUACCUGGAAUACUUCCCGGUUAAAAUGCUGCAUCGGUAUUAAUCUGUGCGCUUGCAGAUCCCAUUCAUUAUUUAUUGAGAAGAGCAAUUGCAUAUUUCAAUACCGCGUCUCUUAUAUCAUGCUGGGGAUGACAACUUGGCUUAAGUGGUGUGAGGGAUAGGUUUGGCAUUUUUGGCACCGUUGCUAGAUUUAGAGAACUUAGUCUACUUUUAGUAAUGAUGUUAAGAAUACCCAACAGUUGGCACGCUCGACCUGGCCGUUAGUUCGAGGGUGAGCCACUGUGGGCCAGUUCACACGGAUGUGAUGCUGAUCGCAGAAGUCCAAGAACUUUUUGCCAGUGAACUGGGUGCCGUUGUCGGUGAUGAUCGCGUUAGGGAUUCCGAAUCGGUGUAUGAUGUCGGUGAAGAAGAGGACGGCUUGUUCGGAGCGGAUAUUGGUGAUGGGUCGAGCCUCGAUCCAUUUGGAGAAUUUGUCAACGGCCACGAGCAAGUGGGUGUAACCCCCUUUUGCCUUUUGUAGAGGUCCUACUAAAUCGAGCCCCCAUACCGCAAAUGGCCAGGUGAUGGGGAUCAUCUGAAGAGCGUGGACGGGCAGAUGCGUCUGUUUGGCAUAGAACUGGCACCCAUGACAUGAACGUACAAGCUCGAUGGCAUCUGCCACGGCCGUUGGCCAGUAGAAACCUUGUCGGAAGGCGUUCCCCACGAGGGUCCGUGGAGCAGCAUUGUGGCCGCAAGCCCCGAGUGUAUGUCCUCAAGGAGUUUUCGGCCUUCUUCUAUGGUGAUGCAACGCUGCAAGACCCCCGUCGGGCUUCGUCGGUAUAGCUCAUUGCCUUCGCCAUAAAUCACAUAUGACUUAGCCCGUCGAGCGAUACGGCAGGCCUCAGAUCGAUCUUCUGGCAGCUCGCAGCGGAUUAGGCAGUCGAACGGUCGACCGGGUCGCUGCUCUACCUCCGUCACCUCUGCUGCCAUCAGCAGUGCAUCGACGGUGUCGGUUGGCUGGGCGGGAGCGGCAUCGACGCCAGCCCCCGAGCCCAAGUCGACGGAUGGCUCAUGAAGAUCUCUUGAGAAUGCAUCAGGUGGCACCGUGCCUCGAGUCGAUGCGAUCUUGGCGAGCUCAUCGGCUGCCUCGUUGUAGCGUCGGGCGACAUGGACGAGCUCGAGACCAUGGAACUUGUCCUCGAGUCGACGAACUUCUUUGCAGUAAACCUCCAUUUUCGGGUCGUGGCAGCUCGAAGUCUUCAUCACCUGGUCGAUGACGAGUUGGGAGUCGCCUCGGACGUCGAGGCAUCAGACUCCUAGCUCGAUGGCAAUCUUGGGACCGUUGACGAGGGCCUCAUAUUCCGCGACAUUAUUAGAUGCGGCAAAAUGGAUCCUGAUGACAUACCUCAUAUGGACGCCCAAGGGUGAGAUGAACAGCAGGCCGGCCCCGGCCCCUGUUUUCAUGAGUGACCCAUCAAAAUACAUCGUCCACAGCUCCGCCUGGACCUGAAUCAGGGGAAGCUUGGGAGUCUGUCCAUUCCGCGAUGAAGUCUACCAGGGCCUGUGACUUGAUAGCCUUGCAAGGCGCAUAGGUGAGUGUCUCACUCAUGAGCUCGACCGACCAUUUAGCUAUUCUUCCCGUGGCCUCCUUGCUCUGGAUUAUUUCGCCUAAGGGGCAAGACGAGACCACCGUGAUGGGGUGGCCGAGAAAGUAGUGUUGCAGCUUACGGCGGGCAAGGAUUACAGCGUAGAUCAGCUUCUGGAUUUGGGGGUAACGUGCCUUGGUCUCCGAAAGCACUUCGCUGACGAAAUAGACUGGCCUCUGGACUGGUAGCGCGUGUCCCUCCUCUUGCCUUUCGACCACCACUGCUGCGCUGACGACCUGGGUCGUCGACGCAACGUAGAGGAGCAGCAGUUCUGCAGGUUGAGGUGGGACCAGGACUGGUGCUGAGUCAGCGUCUUCUUUAGCUUUUCGAGCGCUUCCUUGGCCUUGGGGGUCCAAGAAAAGCGCUUGGCCUUCUUCAGAAGUCGAUACAAUGGCAACGCCUUUUCUCCUAGUCUUGAGAUGAAACGGCUCAGAGCCGCCAGGCAUCCCAUGACUCUUUGCACACCCUUGAUGUCCCGGAUCGGCCCCAUUCUUGUGAUGGCCGAGACUUUCUCGGGGUUGGCCUCGAUGCCGCGCUGCGAAACAAUGUAGCCCAAGAGCAUGCCUCGAGGCACGCCGAAAACGAGUUUCUUGGGAUUGAGCUUGAUCUGGUUGGCGCGUAAACAGCUAAAAGCGAUCUCCAGGUCCUGGAUCAGGUCCCCUCGCCGCUUUGCCUUGACGACAAUGUCGUCGACAUAGGCCUCGACCGUCGACCCUAUGUGUCCACCGAAUACGUGGAGCAUGCAGCGUUGGUAUGUAGCUCCGCGUUUCGAAGCCCAAAUGGCAUGGUUACAUAGCAAUACAUCCCAAAAGGUGUGAUGAAAGAGGUCACGAGCUGGUCGGACUCUUUCAUUUUUAUCUGAUGGUAACCGGAAUACGCAUCAAGGAAAGAAGGGUUUCGCAUCCCGCAGUAGAAUCGACAAUCUGAUCAAUACGUGGUAAUGGAAAAGGAACUUUUGGACAUGCUUUAUUUAGACUUGUAUAAUCGACACACAUCCUCAUUUUCCCAUUGUUUUUCUUAACUAAUACAGGGUUUGCUAACCAGUCAGGAUGAUGAACCUCCUUGAUGAAUCCGGCCGUCAAAAGCUUGUGGAUUUCCUCGCCAAUGAUCUUGCGCUUCUCCUCGUCGAAUCGGCGCAAUCGCUGUUUCACUGGCUUGGAACCGGCUCAAAUUUCCAAGGAGUGCUCGGCGACUUCCCUCGGUAUGCCUGGCAUGUCCGAGGGACUCCAUGCAAACAUGUCGGCAUUCGCACGGAGAAAGUCGACGAGCACAGCUUCCUAUUUGGGGUCGAGGUCGGCGCUGAUCGUCAGCACCUUGCCGUCGGAGUUGUUGGGGUCGAGCGGGAUCUUCUUGGUUCCCUCUGCUGGCUCGAAGUUGCCCGCGUGGCGCUUGGGCUCUGGAGCCUCAGCGGCCAGGGCUUCGAGUUUUGUGACGAGCUCGGUGGAGUUCUCGACCGCCUCCCCAUACUCAACGCACUCGACGUCGCACUCGUAAGCGUGCUCAAAGGAGGAGCUAACAGUGAUGACGCCUUUGGGAUCGGGCAUCUUCAGCUUCAAGUAGGUGUAGUUGGGUAUGGCCACGAACUUGGCGUAGCCCGGGCGCCCGAUGAUGGCGUGGUACGUGCCACGGAACCCGACCACCUCAAAGGUGAGGGUCUCCUUCCUGAAGUUGGCCGCCGUGCCAAAGCAGACCGGUAGGUCGAUUCGACCUACGGGCAACGCCUUUUUUCCUGGCACGACGCCAUGGAAACCGCCGGCGCUUGGCUGGAGCCGUCCCCUAUCAAUGCCAAGGAGGUCGAGGGUCUCGAGGUAGAUGAUGUUGAGGCUGCUGCCUCCGUCCAUUAGCACCUUGGAGAGCCUGGUGUUGAUGAUGAUGGGGUCGACGACGAGCGGGUAGACGCCUGGGGUGACUACCUUGUCGGGAUGGUCUUCUUGAUCGAAGGUGAUGGGGGUGCUCGACCAGCUGAGGUACUGGGGCGCCGCCAUUCUUGCCGCGAAGACCUCACGGUGUUCCCUUUUGCGCUGCCUCGUGGUCAACUGUGUCGAAAGCCCACCAUAGAUCAUGUAGCAGUCAUGGACGGCGGGGAAGCCGUCGUCGUCCUUGUUGCCCUCUUUGUCGCCGCCCUUCUCCUUCUUCGAGUCGUCACGCUCAUCCCUUUUAAACCCUAUACCGUCGAAAUGCCUUUUCAGCAUACGACAAUCCUUGAGCUUGUGGUUGGCGCCUCCCUUGUGGUAAGGGCAUGGUUCCUCUAGCAUCUUAUUGAAGAUACCCCCAUCUGGAGGGCCUCGAGGCUUCUUCCGCUCCAUGGGGCGACAAGGUUGCCGUCGAAAUCUUCCUGUUGCAACUGUCGUGCUUUGUGCUUCUCCUUGUUUUUCUUGAGCCCUCGACUGGGGGUUCCAUCUUCAUCGACAGGCCGCUUGCCUUUCGCUCCUUCACAGCUGAAGAAAGCGCCGACUGCCUCUUCCCCUGCUGCAUAGUUCGGCACUACGUCCAUCAGCUCAUCGAUGGUCUGAGGGCGAUUUCGGCCCAGUUCCCUCACUAAGUCUCGACUGGUGGUACCAGAGACAAAAGCCAGGAUGACGUCAUGGCCAGGGAUAUGUGGCAGCUCAGUGCGCUGCUUCGAGAAGCGUCGAGCGUACUCUCGAAGAGUUUCUCCUGACUUCUGCUUGCAUUUGCUGAGGUCCCACGAGUUCUCGGGCCGUAUGUAGGUACCUUUGAAAUUACCCUCAAAAACUUUAACCAAAUCGACCCAGUCGUGAAUCUGAUUUGCUGGAAGUUCCUCGAGCCAUCGACGGGCGGUGUCGGAGAGGAAGAGCGGUAGCAGUCUGAUGAUGGCUCGAUCAUCUCCUCGAGCGCCACCUAGCUGGCAGGCCAGCCUAAAAUCGGCCAGCCAUAACUCUGGUUUGGUCUCUCCAUUGUACUUUGCGAUGCUGGUCGGAGGUCGGAAUGGACUGGGCAGGGGCGUGCUGUGGAUCGCCCUACUGAACACUCGUGGGCCCGGUGGCUCGGGGGCCACCCGGUCUUCGUCGCUGUCGUACCUCCCACCGCGAUGUGCGCUGUAACCGCACUCUUCCACGUCUCCGUGCUGGCGGCGUCGAUUCUCUUCGAUGUCAUGCCGCGCGUCGUGUCGAUGCUGAUUGUCGACGGGGAGAACGAGAGCGGUCUUUCUGCCUCGAGGAGGAGGCUGUUGAUGGACUGACACCUCCUUUUCAUUUGGAGGUGGCUCGUCGUGCUUUUCAGUGGCAGCCCCUCGUCGUCGAGAAGCUGAGCUUUCGGCUUGUUGAACUGUCGCCACCUGGAGCAGAGUCUGUACCUCGUCUUGAAUGCGCCGAGCUUGGGAGUUCGAUGGUUCUGGCAUGUUGUGCAGUAGCAUCGUUGCCGCCACUACAUUUUGGCCCGCUUGAGGGAAACGGCUGACGGGCUGCUCUGGCUCUGCGUCUCUGACGAUUUGUCGAUGUACCUCUCGAGCACGUCUGCGGACACUUCCGCCCGGCGGGUACGGCAGGUCUUGCUCAAGGAUUUGCUCAAGCAGGAUGAGGCGCUCACGGUCUUCGUCGAGCUUCAUCUUGAGCUCUCGUAGCUGUGCAAGCUGCGCAGCUUUGUCUUCCUGUGGUGGGGGGUCGAUCUGUCCGUCGUUCCCAGGCGUCCUGGGGUCUUCCCGUGCUGCAGGGGUGUUGACACUAGCUAACACCACUUAGAUACUAGGUUGUCAGCCCUAGCAUGGCGCCAGAGUGUACAAAGGUAUUUAUAAAUGUAAAGGCUCUUUAGAAAAUAAUCUAUUCUAUCCGCAAGCGCACAGAUAAAACACCUCAUUGUAGCAUUUCACCAGGAUAAGUAUUCCAGGUAUCGUUAUUUAUAAUUUUGCUCUAGGGAUCUAAGGAGAUGAAAUUAAAAUAAAAGGGGCAAAAUCUAUCAAGGCAUAGACUAGAGAUAAACUUGCAAGAACAUGAUUACUAAUGAGAAACUCGUCACACAGUCAUAUACUUUAGCAGGGGGUAAACCAUAAAGAUAAUGAUAAUAAAGUAUAAGUUCAUGGGAUAAAGAGCACAGCGAUUAGAAAAUAGACUACUCCUCAUAUAUGUAGGUGAUGUCGGAUUAGCUAGAGAAUGGAUUCUAAGUUAUCUACUAACUACUAAGUCAUAAUCUACUCUAGUUAUCUACAAGAUCAUAUAUAGCAUAAAUUCUUCAUUCAUGUAUAAGGAACAUUGAUAAAGUAAAUCAGAACAUCGCAUGACUUACUCCACAAUACCGGUUCUGCCUGUCCUAUCAACGGAGGGUGGACUAUAUAAGAAUCAACGAAGCUGUCACUAUCGCGAACUACCACACGACUCGGCCAAUAGGAUACAUUUGCAGAUAAAUAACAUCUAAGCACCACGCUCACAUGUGAUCUAUCACCUAACUCCCUCGCGUCAAGAGCUAAGCGCUUUGCAAACUUAUACAUAAACUCAUUAUCAAUUAGAACUAUAUCAAAUAUAGAACUAGAGCAAACUAAGAGCAUAAUAAUUAGAGACAUAAUGCAAUUAGAACAAUAGAAUUAGAGAAAGAUAUGAAUAAUACCAAUCUUUAUUACCGAAGAUCCGAAUCUAGAGCGUAGUGCUCUACUUCUCUAAUUGCUAUCUAAUCAACCUCUAAACUUGAAGGAUUAGGGAGUAGCUAAUUCUAAUUCUCUAUGGGAGAGAGAUCUAAACCCUAACUUUGAUGGCUACCUCUGAAUAAUGAUUUCUCCUCUCCUCCAGGGGCCAGGGGGUCUGGUUUUAUUGUCCCCUCAAGUGAACGUGAGCCAUUGGAUCAAACCGACAUAGAUUGUAUGGUUUAGAUUGAUCCUUUAGGUCGGUGGAGUCUUGUCCCGAAGCAGAGUCCUGAUUGGCCUCUUGGCCAGGGCGGGCGCCCAAGGGGGGUGGGCGGCCGCCCAGCUCCCGAGCCCGAUUCACUUCCCGUUCGUUCCCGUGGCUUCAGGAUCCUUCUAGAUUGAGGAAAAUUGCACGGCACGUAAUUAUCUCGUUGUAAACAUGACAUGUGGGCCUUCUCUCCAUAUUUUCUGAUAACUCCCUGCAGAAAUAGAUAAACACCAAAGCUCGUGGAAUUCUGUCAGAUAAAACCCUAAUUCUAGAUGUUUGUUUCAUAUUGAUCCUUUUUCAUGUUUAUUUGAUUAUUAAUUUUAGUACUUAAGGACCGUCAACAAACUCCCCCAAGCUUACCCUUUGAUCGUCCCUGAGCAAACAGCUAAACUCAGACAGAUCAGGAGUUGCUUCGAUGUUUUCUUUCCUGACAGGCACACGUGCUUUUAUAAAAAUUCUUCCAGAUUAGAGUGAAGUGUUAUGAAGUUUAGUACCUGCACUUAAGUCUUAAGUAAUCAAAAGACAAAAUAGUUAAGUCAAGCACUAUCCCUCCUAUCUAUACUUCACCUUUGUUCCAGAGUUUUUCAUAAGUUUUCAAAAUAAAACUCAGAGUUCCCAGCAAUGAUUCUCUCAAGUCUCUCUAUAUGUGGUAUUUGUGGAUCCUUACCAUAAUAUCACUUACCUAUAGCUAAUGGAAUAUUUAAGUGGAGCUCAUAUGAGUGAUAAACAGCUCAUACAUAUGUUGUCUAAUCGAGCCAUGGAUCCAAAGGAACUCAGCAUAUAAUUAAAUCAAGAUGUGCAUGUGUGAUGGAGUAAAUGAUAGUGAUGGUGAAAAUGCAUAAGUGAUAAUAAUAAAAUUUAGUUCUCAUUGCUCCUUAUAUUGCUAUCUCUCCUCUUCUUUGAUCUUUGCUUUGGGAGAACAUGGGCUAUCUUUUUCUUCUUCUCUUUUUUUUUAAGGUGGGUAGUAGAUACCCCUAAUUCUACUGUCGGACACUUGUCCAUUUUUUCCGCUCAAGUGGGCAUCUUUGUACCCCUAAUUCUACUCCGGACACUUGUCCAUUUUUACCUCUCGUCUCACUCUUUUUCUUUCUUUUUCGUGGUUCUGGGCACUUGCCCCUUUUUAUUUCCUCGUAUAUUUUUGCAUAACCCAUGCCUCUUCUGCAUUAAAUCUUUUUAGAGAGAGAAUAACAAUAUUCGGGACAGUGAGUGAUUAUAUUUUUAGCAAUUUUAAUGAUUGGUGAUGAAUGCUAUAGUAGAUGUGUGCAAGUGAAUAUCUUAAUUUAACCACAUGAAAAGCUCCUAAGGGUCUACACAGCUCGAUUAAACUCAAUGUGAAUAUAGUAAAAGAUGUUAUAGCAAGUAUGGCUGUGGUAGGUAGUUUGCAAUGCUAGGAACUCAUCAUGUGAUUUGUAAGUUUUCAAAAUAAAUCUCCAGAACUUAGUGUAGUAGGGAUAAGAUAAACAGUAGCUCAACUUUAUAUCAUGUCUUUCUUUUACCUAGACUUUAGUUUUAUGCUUCCCAAAGAUAGUAAUUUUAGUUUUAGUAAUUCCUGGAAGAAUUCUAAUAUAAAAGCUAGGUACUUGUAAGUAAGCAAACAGAGCAACUGUUCAUCAUUUCCAUCAUGCAUAUUUUUUGUCUUUUUAUUUUUUCUAGAGAUUGAACUUAGCAGGUAAAUAAAGCACACUUAUCUACACACUCUUUUUAUUUUGUUUUCAUGUUUAUAAAGUGCAGUAAAUUAAAGCAAGAAAAUAUUUAUUUGGUUUUCUAAGUUUUUUUCCUUUUAAGAUAAAUUAAAUACUAAGACAGAAUAGAAUAAAUAAGAAGAGCAAAUAGAAACUUACUUGAUAAAUUGGGGAGAAACUCCCCCAAGCUGGAUGUUGACGUCGGUCUUACCCGAUGUUCCAGAACCGCAUCAUGGUUGUGAUGUUGUCGUUCAUUGUUGUUGUAUCUUGUCUCAGCUCUUCUACUGCAGCUGCAUGGUCCUGGUUCCAUUUUUGUUGCUCUUCCAGGAGUCUUCCAUGUUCUGCUUGCGUGUUCUGGAUGUCGAGGAGGGUGUUGUCGGUACGAGUGAAGAAAGCACCGGCCUCUUGGUAAUAGUCAUUCGUGAAGGCGUAGGAGGCAUCGGAGUAUCGUCCUGCAUCAACUUGGGGUGGAGGUCUGGAUCCUGAAGCUCCAUAUGGAUCAGUGGAGUACCUGCCCGUAUGAAAAGGCGGGUUUGUCCACUGGUGAUCUUGGCUCUCCGGCCAUGUCUCCUCUGUUGGCUCUUGUGGUUGCGCAUGACGAGCCCAUGGGUCUCGAAGGACUCGUGGAUUGUAAUCGCAAUAAUGCAGGUGCGCUGCUUCUUUUGGUCCAGGGUCAGCUCCAUACCAAGUGCAUUCUUGGUGAGUGGUUAUCCUUUCAGAUGCUACUCGCUGUGGAGUUCUCUGGUUCACUGGUGUUGCUGCAAUUUCAAUCAAAAAGUUUUGCACAGAGUAGAGGCCAAGGUUCGGGUUAGGUAACCGAAUCUUGCCUUUAUCAUCAUACAGCAUAUACAUUAUGUUCCCCUCUUUCUUUAACAUCCGAGCUUGUCUAAAUGUGUCAUAGCCAUGAUAAAUUCUUAAUUCUUCUAUGAAGUCUAACGAUGAAUUUUCUAGUAAGUGAAGAUUAGAGGCUAGACGAGUGAUAAGUGAAGUACAUCCUACUGGUCCCUGAAGACUAGGUAUACUAAGCCAAUGUGAAACUAAUAGUGUAACAGGUGAAGUGGGUACUUUACUAAUAGCAGCAUAUAAAAGUUGUAAAUCUCCUACUCUUACUUUCCUAAUAUCAUCACGAUAGAAAAGAUUGUACCCAAGCCAUUUGUGAAACAUCCUAAGAGUGGGGUGUUCCAUGUCACUGGUUCGGGCUUGACUAUAAAAAUUAUCUCUAGAUACUUCUCUCCAAAACUGGUGUUUCUCAAAAUUGGGUAAAUCGGAGUCAAUGUUCAGGAUGCAUCUUGAAGAGAAACCAAGAUGGUCGCUCAACUCUCUCUAGGAUAACAUAAUUUCUUGUUUGCACAUCCGAAAAAACAAUUCCCCCCUCAUAGUAUUGUAAGGUGCAAAGAAAUUCGAGGGUGAGAAGACGAGAACCCAGUUCGGUUAUAUUCCAAAAAUUUGUCCAACCCAUCAUUUGAAAAAUUAAGUCAAAUUCAGUGUCCAUACCUGUUUCUCGUAGUAGGAUUGGAUCGAUAGUAGGGGUGAGAAUGAAAUCUUUGUUCUUCAGUUGCUGAUAGACUUCCUUCUCUCUUCGGGUCUUCAGUCCUAGGUCUCCUAUCUUGAGAAGGACCUUAACUUGAUGACCUGAUGAAGAUGACGGAGCUUGUGUGGGUGUCGGAUCGACACUCAUCUCUGAUGGCUGUGAGGAGUGUCGGGCGGAACUCCUUGUACCAAUGUUCUUGAGAGCCUUCCCUGCAUUCUUCACCUUCUUAAACAUCCUGCAAACAAAAGUUGGCAAAAACACAACUGGUGGAAAAUAUGAGAUAAAAUGUUAGUAGUCAGCCGUCCGGAGUAUCAGUAGUCCAGGGGUUAAUCGUUCAAGACAAGUUUCUAUUUUGGUAGAGCCUCCCCCUAAACAACUUUUACUUCCGCUUAGACAACUACUUACUAGGUGAUAAUCACUCUCUCAAAAGAACUCCAACCUUCCCUUCCACUCUCCUCUUUCUCCCUACUCUCUUCUCUUCACUACAAAAGCUCCUUCUCGGGAGACUGAGAUUUAUGUGGUUUUCUGAAGUGUUUGUGUGAAGAGAAGGGAAGCUGGAGGUGGCCUUUUAUAGGCUGAGCAGGGGACAGGGUGGGCGCCCAAGGUAGGUGGGCGGGCGCCCACCCCUGGUGUCCAUCCUGGGUGUGCCUCCUCCACAUGCUUCCUUGCUUUGAUCUCACGCAGAAUAAUAUUGUGUUGGUAGCGGUUGGACGGUGGAAAGAUGUCAGGUGAGUGGAAACAUAUUGGUGGAUGAAAUUAUGUGAUGGGAUGUAUGUGAGGUGAAGUGUAUGACAUGUGGGACCCAAGUAAUGUGGGUCAUGCUUCUAGAAGAUCAAUAUAAAUAAAUAUAAUGCAGGAAAAUCUAUGAGAAUUGAAACUUAUUGAAAAUGAUAAUGGAAAAUAUUUUUGUGCCUCCACAAUAAUUAAUAAAUAUGGGUUGUUACACACCAUGAAUAUUAUUUAUAUGGGGCUUUUCAUUAUUAUAAUUAUGCUAUGAAUAUAUAUGACUAAUGCAAGAUUUAACUAUGCAAGAAUUUAAAUAUGAGAAACUUAAUAAUGCGGGUAAAUACCGAUUUACCUCCCGGUGAGGGUUUGGGAUUUUUAGGUCCCCCAAGCUGGACCUCCAAAUCUUUUAAUCUUCUUAGUUACCUUCCUCCGGAGAUGGUGUCUUCAGUAGUUCUUCAUGAACUUCCUUCACUGUAGAGUCUCUCUCUGGUCUGGGUUUGAAUGUGAAGUGUUCUUCUUGUCCGUUUAUGUUGAACUUGAUUUCUCCCUUCCCAACAUCAAUGUGGGCAUUGGCAGUACUCAGAAAUGGCCUUCCAAGGAUGAUGGACACCUUCGAGUCAGGACUCAUGUCCAGUACUACGAAGUCUACUGGCACCAGGAAAUCUCUGAUCUUGACUGGAAUGUUCUCGGCGAUGCCCAACGGGUGUCGAACCGAUUGAUCCGCUAGUUGUAGGCACAUUGAUGUUGGUUCUAAGGUUGCAUGAUCAAGCUUUUUGUAGACUGAUGCUGGCAUCACACUGACACUUGCUCCGAGAUCACAAAGUGCAUUGUUGAAGUGUUGGUUUCCAAUCGAGCAAUCAAUAGUGGGGCAUCCUGGAUCUUCCUUCUUCUUUGGUGGUUUGUUGAGGAUGGCCGCACUACAUUCUUCUGUCAGCUUGAUAACCUCAGUGGUGGGCAGUGGUCUCUUCUUGUUAAGAAUAUCUCUGAUGUACUUUGCAUAUGUAGGUACCUGUAUGGCAUCGAGCAGAGGUAUGUUGACAUAUAAUUUCUGAAUGACCUCUACAAACUUACCAAACUGCUCAUCCGACUGCAGUCCUCUGUUUCUUCUGGGAAAUGGCAAAUAGUUGGUGUCGUAAAAAUCUUUCCACAUUUCUCCAUUUCUUGGUAGUUGUAGCAGAUCUUCUGCUUCAACUGGGCUUUUUUCUUCUAUCACUGCUGGUUGCACUGGUGCUGAUGUUCUUUGUUUCUCUUUUGGGUAUGGUGGAUCUUUGGUGGCUUUGCCUCCUCUAGUAGUUAUAUUCUUUACCUGCUCAAGGUUAGUAGCAACAGGCAGUGCAGCAGCUAUCUUUAUUAAUUUAAGCUCUACCUUUUUAUUAAGAGUGUUUUGCUCAUCAAAGGCAGUUAGUAAAUAAUCCAUUUUAUUGUGUAUAUCUUUUAGAGACGAUUCAUUUGUAUCUAGCCUUUGUUUAACUUCAUCAUAAAUUUUGGUUUGUGAGCAAUUAUCUCUUUUAAUGAAAGUUGCUUGAUAGUAUUACCUGAAUUCAUACCUUUGCUAUUGGGUUGACUCGAAGUUGGUUGAUAUUUGUAUGCUGUCUCAAUGGCCCUUUGAUCUUCUUUGAACUUGGCCCUCUGGUCAAUCCAAUGGAGCAAAUUUUCCAUCUUAGUUGAUAAUGCAUUUACUUCUUCUGGUAUUUCUUCAGUUUGAUGACAUUGUUGAGCUUUAUCUUGGAACCAGCUUUGGUUUUCUGCUAUCUUAUCCAAAAGUAUCUCUGCUUUUCCAGUUGUAAGCUCCAAGAAUGAUCCUUUAGCAGAUGCAUCUAGGCACUCACGAGUCUUAUGGGUUAAUCCAUGAUAGAAGGUCUGCAUAAGUAACCAUGUAGCCAUUCCAUGGUGAGGACAAUCUGAUAUGCAUCCUUGAAAACGCUCCCAGGCUUCUGAAAUGGCUUCUGUCUUCUGCUGUUGGAAACUGACAAUAUUUCCUCUUAAGGCAGUUGUUUUGCCUAUAGGGAAAAACUUUGAUAGAAAGGCAUCUGACAAGUUCGUCCAGUUGUUGAUGUUAUCUUGAUGAGUGUAGAACCACUUCCUCGCUUUCCCUUCUAGUGAGAAUGGAAAAAGGCGAAGUAGUAUGACGUCUUUGUCAACUCCGUUGAUGUGGAUUGUGCUUCCAAUUUCUAAGAAAUUCUGCAAGUGCGCACUGGCAUCUUCAUGUGCAUUUCCACUGAAUUGUGUAGCUUGUACCAAAUUGAUGAGGCUUGACUUGAGCUCAAACUCGGGUAUUCCUUCUUCUACUGCAAAUCUUGGACCAGUUGGAAUGUUCUCAAGACUUGGAGCAGAGAAUUCUUGCAAGGUCUUGUGUGCCAUAGCUUCAACAAUUGGUAGCUAUCUUCUUCUUCUGUUGAUUGCUUUGGUUCUCAUGAUGAAGAGUUGAAGGUACCCAAAGUCAAUCCUGUUAUACCCUGUAUAAAAAUAUAAACAUAGAAAAACAACAGGGUGAACCUGCCAAAGCAGAGGUGCCUUGUUAUUAUUUCUCACUUAGUAGCUGUUUUAUGCAAUUAUUUCUCUAUAGUCUAGUCUAAUAUUUUAUAUGAAUAACCUUGACUGAUUUUCUGGCUUCCUUAAUAUUACCCUUUUGUUCCCUUUUAUGACUUAUUCCUGAGAUUCGUAUAAUUCCUAUAAGUCCCCCGGCAACGGCGCCAGAAAUGCUUGUUGACACUAGCUAACACCACUUAGAUACUAGGUUGUCAUCCCUAGCAUGGCGCCAGAGUGUACAAAGGUAUUUAUAAAUGUAAAGGCUCUUUAGAAAAUAAUAUUUAUAAAUGUAAAGGCUCUUUAGAAAAUAAUCUAUUCUAUCCGCAAGCGCACAGAUAAAACACCUCAUUGUAGCAUUUCACCCGGAUAAGUAUUCCAGGUAUCGUUAUUUAUAAUUUUGCUCUAGGGAUCUAAGGAGAUGAAAUUAAAAUAAAAGGGGCAAAAUCUAUCAAGGCAUAGACUAGAGAUAAACUUGCAAGAACAUGAUUACUAAUGAGAAACUCGUCACACAGUCACAUACUUUAGCAGGGGGUAAACCAUAAAGAUAAUGAUAAUAAAGUAUAAGUUCAUGGGAUAAAGAGCACAGCGAUUAGAAAAUAGACUACUCCUCAUAUAUGUAGGUGAUGUCGGAUUAGCUAGAGAAUGGAUUCUAAGUUAUCUACUAACUACUAAGUCACAAACUACUCUAGUUAUCUACAAGAUCAUAUAUAGCAUAAAAGACUCUUCAUUCAUGUAUAAGGAACAUUGAUAAAGUAAAUCAGAACAUCGCAUGACUUACUCCACAAUACCGGUUCUGCCUGUCCUAUCAACGGAGGGUGGACUAUAUAAGAAUCAACGAAGCUGUCACUAUCGCGAACUACCACACGACUCGGCCAAUAGGAUACAUUUGCAGAUAAAUAACAUCUAAGCACCAAGCUCACAUGUGAUCUAUCACCUAACUCCCUCGCGUCAAGAGCUAAGCGCUUUGCAAACUUAUACAUAACUCAUUAUCAAUUAGAACUAUAUCAAAUAUAGAACUAGAGCAAACUAAGAGCAUAAUAAUUAGAGACAUAAUGCAAUUAGAACAAUAGAAUUAGAGAAAGAUAUGAAUAAUACCAAUCUUUAUUACCGAAGAUCCGAAUCCAGAGCGUAGUGCUCUACUUCUCUAAUUGCUAUCUAAUCAACCUCUAAACUUGAAGGAUUAGGGAGUAGCUAAUUCUAAUUCUCUGUGGGAGAGAGAUCUAAACCCUAACUUUGAUGGCUACCUCUGAAUAAUGAUUUCUCCUCCUCUCCUCCAGGGGCCAGGGGGUCUGGUUUUAUAGUCCCCUCAAGUGAACGUGAGCCAUUGGAUCAAACCAACAUAGAUUGUAUGGUUUAGAUUGAUCCUUUAGGUCGGUGGAGUCUUGUCCCGAAGCAGAGUCCUGAUUGGCCUCUUGGCCAGGGCGGGCGCCCAAGGGGGGUGGGCGGCCGCCCAGCUCCCGAGCCCGAUUCGCUUCCCGUUCGUUCCUGUGGCUUCUGGAUCCUUCUAGAUUGAGGAAAAUUGCGCGGCACGUAGUUAUCUCGUUGUAAACAUGACAUGUGGGCCUUCUCUCCAUAUUUUCUGAUAACUCCCUGCAGAAAUAGAUAAACACCAAAGCUCGUGGAAUUCUGUCAGAUAAAACCCUAAUUCUAGAUGUUUGUUUCAUAUUGAUCCUUUUUCAUGUUUAUUUGAUUAUUAAUUUUAGUACUUAAGUACCGUCAACAAGGGGCUCGACCGCCCGCUGCAGCAUCCUGCGUCUCGUCGGUAGUUUCUACUGCCCCGUCGACGUGAUAGCAUUCCCUCGUAGGGUCGUAGCUAUCAGUCUUGGAGUCGGAGUCCGGCUCGACGGCGUAGAAGCAUCCACGUCCCUCCUCCAGCAGCCGUUGCCUGAGUGAGGUGAUCGUGUAUCGCCCAGGGCCUAGGCGGCGGAGGCCUCGCACCUGGGAGAAAUCCGGCAGUUCGGACGUCGGCCGUAGUGUCUUAGAGUCACGUGGGAGGACCAUUGGUCUCUCCACAUACGUCUGAGCAUUUGGGCAUAUUGCUCGGGCAAGCGACGCCAUGGCGUUGUCCAAUCUGAAUGGCAGUGCCCUUCUUGGAGUGAACAACCCGUGCGGAAGUAGCUUAGUAGCGGUGGGGGAGGGCGCGCGAGACACAGAAGUAUAUGCUACUGCUGUAAGCUUAAUAAUUAAUAAAUAAAUAAACACUUGUUAUGCAUGAAAUGGAUAGAAUGAAAUAUGUUUGGUGUAUAUUCGAAGCACUAUAGUAGCUUGCUGGUUUAGUAGUAGCUUGUAGAAGAGAAUGCAAUAGAUAUUUUAUUUUGGCUAUAUAUUCUUGGAUGAUGUUGACUACCUAGUAGUAAUAGUUUCUUAUUUCAUCCAUCGGGACUCUUCUCCACUGGAGAUCAGAUCUGCACAUACUCAUUUAGCACCAUGUCAUGACCAUCCUGCCUUAACUUGCAUAGCACUACACCUCGGGCAUCAUGCACUUCCACUUAUGUGUACAUAUGCAUCAUACAUGCUCGCAGGAGAACGAGGUAGAACCGAGGAGCAUGAGGAGACCCCGGUGUAGGGACUUCCGGAAGAACCAGAGCCACAAGGAGAGCUGCAGGAGUGCCCCAACCACAUGCCUAGCACCUUCAAGAGAGGCAAGCCCCGAAGCAUUCUAAGUCUCCGUAAUUCUCGCUAACUUAUUUUAUUGUAUCAUGUGGGUUUACUUUGCUACAUUCAGUGAUAGGAGUUGCUUGAUACCAUUGAUGCAUAGUUAUUCCUUGGUUUUACCACGUAUUCACCUACCUUGUCCUAAGUAGAUAGGCUCGAAGUCUAUGCUUAGCUUGCUUAGAAGCGGUUGCAAUCGGGUGAUUUCUUGUCACCUGCGAGAUAUAGGUGGAUACCUAAAGGUCUAGCUGUUUGACGCUAUUAUGAGAAGUAACCAAGUGUGGAAAUGAAACUGAGAUUGGGGAGGGUCUUGUGGGGGUGUUGACCAUAGUGCCCCUGCCUGUGUCGAUUAAGGACCUAUCGUUGACGACCCUCUUGUCAUGUUGAAUGCAUGCCCCACACUAGUUGGAAGGAUAAGUCGUUCCGACCAUGAAGCGUGAACACUAUCCGGGCUAGGAGUCAAGCCGCCAUACACUGUUUUGGUGAUGGUUGAGGUGAACGAUGAGGGCACGGCGUGCAACCUUGGUAUGCCUUCGAUACCUGAGUCCCCAGAAGGGUCCUCGGGUACUCGCGGUGCCUAACAAACCCGCGAAUUGGUCCUGGAUAGUGUAAUAUGGUGAUCUGUAGCUCACUUGAUCAGUGAGUGUGGUUUGUGUGGGGAAUAACUCGCUAUCUGGUCAGAAAUCGAUUCGAAUGGCCAUCGCUCCUAGAUAGUGAGCACUUGACGUGAGCCAUGUCCUCAUAGUAAGGACUAUGAAACACUUUGGUUAUGGUAUAUGAUGAUUAUGAAUGCUAUGAUAUGGUACUAUCAUAUUGAAACAACUGUUUGCAAUAGUACAAGUGCUAACCUAGAUGGUAGGUAAUAAUACCUAACUUGAGCUAAAUAAAAGUAGAAGGGUUUUAGGAUAUAUUCCUAGAUGGUUAAAGCUUUUAUGCAAAAAGGGUCUAGCUAUCCCACUAUAUAGCCAUCAUGAUCCUUGAAGACUCUUUUAUUUUUGGUUUAUGACGGGUAAGUCUAGCUGAGUACAUUCUUGUACUCAGGGUUCCAUUACCAUGUUGUUUUGCAGAUGGUCAGAUGUACUAUGGGUAUUGCAUCAACUGCUUGUACCCAGCAAUGGGUGAUGACUAGACCAAGGGCAAUGGUCACUCUACCUCCUCUUUCGCUUUUGUGGGAAUGAUCAGAUUCUGGCACUGUAACAAACUGAGCGUGUGUGUACUUUCGAACUGAAUGCUUCCUCUACUACUGUUGAACUUGGUUUGUAAUAACUAUGUUUGAACUCCGAUGUAAUUUCUGAAUGUUGUGAUCUAGAUGUACUUGUGAAUGGCGAUGGCUGAACUUAUUACGAUCAUGGCUGUAUGUGCGAAAUGUGGUUUGAAAUCCCUCGAGAUUUUAUGGACUAUCAGGAUUAUAUGGGCUUAAGCCUGAUGGUUUGACUACGCAAGUGGUCGCUGUCAUGCUUAAUCUCUUACAAUUUGCAUGGUUCUGUUACAGCUAGCAUCGAAGCAAGGUUUAGCAGAUUACUAUUCAUAAGUACGUUCUAAAGCAAAUUUAAAAAUGUAUAAUAAAAACUAAUUCCCUAUUAAUGAUAAUUAAGGUGUUAAAAUGAGUAUUUGGAAAAUUAUAAAGUGUGCUAGUAGUCAUAUCCUUUUUGCCUAGUUAUGGACUCUAAGGUGGCUAGUUAAGUACUGACUUGGGGGUUGUGCAUCAUAUUUCUAUUUCGUCGCUCAUACAUCAUGCAAUAGUAUGAGUGCCAUUCACUUGAGUAGUAAUGUAUGGAUCAUUUUUCCUCUACGCCUUGGUAAGUGAGAGCUGUGAGAGCAUGAUUGGAUACACUGUCGGUCUAGGGAAAUGCUUUAGGGUGCUGUGCCAUGCACUCAAAUCUCGUUUGCCUGGGGACAGUGCCGCAUGAUGGGUGAUUCCGUCCUGAGAGGCGAUGCCGUCGCUAGGGCGAUGAUGUGGGUGUUGACACUUGCUAGCACCACUUGAAUACUAGGUUGUCAUCCCCAGCAUGGCACUAGAGUGUACUUUGGUAUUUGUACACACAGAGAUAAAUCUGCAAGCGCAUGGAUACCGUUGUAGCUUUUACCCGGUUAAAAGUUUUAUCGUAUCCACAGGAAAACAGGAGAACUGAUCUAUGCUCUAACUUAACAUAGAUAGAUAGGUAGGUGUAAAUAGGAAAGAUGGUAGAAUUGAAUAAGAACAAUAUUAAAGGUAAGAUAACAAUGUGUGAUAAUAGGGGAAUAGAGAGUAGAGCAAUCUAGUAUAUGGGCGAUGGUAGGAGAAUAGAGAGGAUAACUUUGGUUUCUCUACUUCAAAGGGGUAUGUCUAUGUCUAGGACGAACCACGUGAUAAGAAUACAUCACAAAGGAUGCUUAUCCAUAUGCCGAUAAACCCAACCAGUCCUGCUAAUGGGAGGUGGACUACAGAGGACCAACAUAGCUAUCACAUAUGCGGCCUACCACAUGAUCCGGCAAGACAGGGGAUAUCCACAAGUAAUCUAGGUCUAAGCACCAAGCUUACACCUAUACUACAACUCUAACCUAUAGGGUCCUAUAGAUUAAAAGUACUCAAAAGAGUUGUGAACCAGAACAUACAAGAAUUGUAAUUGCAUAAUGAGAUAGAAGUAGAUUACUAGAGUCAUCCCAUGAGCAAGCUUGAUUAGAGCUUGAUCAUGGCGAAGUACAACCGGAGGAAGAACCGACAGGCCGGCCUCUCCUUCAAUCCUCCCUCACUCUCCAUCUUGCUACUAUCUAGAUCUACUCUAGUUUAGAUAUGAGAGGAGAGCUCACAUCUCCAAACCCUAUCUUUUGCUUUGUGUAUGAAUAAUGAAUAAGGAUGAAGGGGUUGUCUCCACCAGGGGCCAGGGGUCCUGCUUAUAUAGUCCCAUCAAGUGAACGUGGGCCGUCGGAUCAAACCAACCUUAAUAGCAUGGUUUUCCUUAAUCCUUUAGGUCGGUGGAGCAUAAUCCGCGAGGCGGAGCCUGAUUGGCUCCUGUAGCAGGGCGGGCGCCCAAGUGGGGAGGGCGGGCGCCCUGUCCCCGAGCCCGCUCGGCUUGUCGUUCAUUCACGUGGCUUCUGGAGUCUUCUAGAUGAUAGAAAAUUGCACGGCACGUUUAUCUCUAUGUAAACCCGACGUGUGCCUUUCUUCCAUGUUUCCUGAUAACCCCCAGCAGAAAUAGACAAACACGAAAACUUGUGGAAUUCCUUGUAUGACUCUCUCAAAUCUCUCUUUUGUGGUAUUUUUGGAUCCUUACCAAGGCAGUAAUGGUAUAUGCCUUCUCUCAAAGUAUGUGGUAUUUUUGGUAUGAGGCAUAGUGAUAUUGCCUUCUCUCUCACCCUACUCUAAUAAGGUUUUGAUAUCUCGAGCUCAUAGGUGGGAGAUAAAGCAUACAUACUUAUAAGACAUUUAUUGUAUAGUCAAACCAUGGAUCCAGAGAAACAAGUCAAUAAGUCAAAUCAAGAUGUGCAUGUGUGGCGAAUGAAUGGUGUAUGGUGAUGCUGGUGAUAAUGGUGAAAACAAUAGUGAAAGUCUAAUUCAACGUUUCCUCUUUUGAGGGGAUACAUACCUUUCUUGCACUUUGGAGCUUUUUGAGGGGAAUGAGAUGCUCUAUAUUUUCUUUUUCUUUUCUCUCAGGUGGGUAUCUUGUAGCCCUAAUUCUAAUGUCGGACACUUGUCCAUUUUUACCUCUCGUCUCACUUUUUCUUUUUUUCUUUUUUUUUGAGGUUCCGGGUACUUGCCCCUUUUUAUUUCCUCGUAUUCACUUUCUUUUUUUUCAGAGCACUCACCCUCCUGGAAUAAUGUAGCAAGUGGUAUAACCAAAAUAUCUCGAGCAUUUAUUUCACGGGAAAAAACAUAAAUGGGAUAAUGUUUUUGGCUAUUCUCUCCCGGUUAGGAGUAGAAUAAUUUUGGGUGAAUCUGGAGAUGGAAAUGAGUGGAUGUAUGUGGAUGCGUACUUUCGGAGUAGAAGCAGCAUGUAUGAGUGAACGUGCAAGUGAAUCUUUAUUUUAACCGCAUGACAAGCUCCUAAGGGUCUACACAGCUUGACCACACUCAAUGCUCAUAAGCAGUAAAAAGUAAAUAUAGGGUUCAUAGUCUAAUAAGCAUGUAUAUGUGGCUGUGGUAGGAUUUUAAACUCUCAUCAUACAGGAACUCAUCAUGCAACAUUUUAAAGAUUUUCAAAGAUAAAAAUUCUCCAGAAUUCUAGCAUCUCUAGGAAUAGAUAAACAACAGCUCAACCUUCCCAUAUCAUAUCCGUUAAUGACUUAGACUUUAGAUCAAGUACUCUUUCCACGAGAUCAGGUUGAGAGCAGAUCUUAAUUCAUAACAGUCAUGCCUAAACUUGAGAGAGAAUUCAAUUUUGAGAACUAGUCAUGGCAGAGCAACUAUUCAUCAUUUCCAUGUGAGAGCUUAUCAUGAGAGUUCAUAGCAAACAUUAUUUAUUUAUUUAUUUAGCAAACUAAGCAAAGAUAUAUAUGUAAACACAAAAUCUUUAUUUGGGUUUUUAUGAUUAUGUAUCUUUUAAUUAUUUGAGUAAAAUAUAGACAUGAGUAGAAACACUUAGCUGGAUAAAUGGGGGUGCUCUGCCCCAAGCUAGAUUUUGACGUAAUUUCUUCUGAUGUAGCUAACAGGUGGCGGAGGUGUAUUUGAAUGUCGGCAACACCCUAACAGCGAUUAGGAUGUCCUCCGUUUGCUAGUCUUCUUUGAUCCUUGAAUUCUGUGGAGCUCAAAUAGACAACAAAGCUUUGUGGAGCUAGUUAAGUGUUAGCAUAAAAUCUCUUUGCUUUUAUCAUGUUGAGCUUCCUCUAAUAAAUAUUACUCUCUUUGGUAGGAUCAUAAAUUUAUUUUUAUAUUUUCAUUUCUAUAGGAUAGGAAUAUAUUUAUUUUAUUUUUACGCCACUACGGUUAAUGUACUUAUGGGUUUUAUGCUACGAGCAUACUCACAUGGGGCUUACAAUUUUUAACAUUUUUAUUUUCUUUUCAAGAUAGUAUGAUUAACUAACAAGCCAUUUAAGGAAAGUAAAUAGUUUAGGGGAAAAGGGAAUGCAGAAAGGAUAAAUAUGGAUAACUACCGAUUUUUCCUUUCGGCGAGGGUUCAAUGUUUUAAGUCUUCUGAACAAGACUUCUCACCGUGUUCAUUCUUUAGGUGCGUCAUUUGAUUCACGUGUGGACCUUGACGUCUACUUCUCUUGAUACGGUGUCACCCAUGUUCUUUGUUUGCCCAGUAGUUCGAAGUGCGGCGUUGGCAGUAUCUUGCUCAGUGUGUUUGUGCUCGUAGAUCCACGUCCUUCACUUGGUAGAGUCUGGGAUUUGAAAAAUCCUCCAUGUUUCUCAAAACGUGUCCUGCUCAUAGAGACAAGGCAGAGAUCAAGUGCAUGGGUCCUGUUGGUGGAAAACACCAACAAAACCAAAAGUAUAUUUGUUCUUCUCUAUCCUUAAGUAUAGGGAGCAAGACAAAGUUGAUGGGUGAUAAGUUCAUGAGUGUAGCAUUUAAAACAUUUGUCAGAUCAGAUCGCUUAAACUUAUGGAAAGAAAAUCUAUCUAUGUAUAUGUUUUUUUUCUUUAUAUCUUCCCAAAGAUUGAAUGUGCAACAUUUUAGCUCAUAUGAUUAGGAGUGUAGGAUUAUGGAGGUAGUACUACGAACAAAGAUUAAAGGACUAAACAUACUGAAUCAGUAAGGUUGGUUAAUUUGGAGUUAUAAAUCAUACAUGUUUGUCUCUUUAUUUAUGUGAAUGCCAGAACCAAGGAGAAGCUUAUAAAAGUGAUAGACACAUAUCUUAAGAUUUUACCAUAAUUGAAGAGUGAUGGUACAAUAUCACCUUGUGGAAGCUUUCCUUUCUUACCGGUUGUGCAUCAUGUUUAUGGCACCCUCCAUGGAUCAUCUCUUAUGAGCUACGUAUUCCUUGUGUAAAUUGUUAAACUUGAUGUGUCUCUCCCUUUGUCUCCAAUGUGAGUUUAUCUUAGGACUUCCCAGGUCGAUAUUGAAAGUUUUCAUACAGGGUUUAGUCCAACAAAAUAUCCAGUAUCUACUGUAGCAUACUAUCGGCUCAAAAAUGAACCUAGACACCAUGUCUAAUUUGAUUUAGGAGGGCACUUUAACCUAAGCAUCAUGCUUAAUUUAAAAUCCCUUGGAAGUAAGAUCAUCAUUCCUAAACUAAGCACCAUGCUUAUUUAAGAGAUAAAUGAAACUACUCCAAACCUAGACAUCUCUACAACUAAAAAUUAUGAAAAGGACCCAUCUACCACACUCAUGGUGAAGCCACAACUCCCAUCACUUUUAUCCAUGAUAGGCUAUGCCAUCAACCUAGGCCCCACUCACCCAUGCAUGCAAAAUUGUUUUAGUGAAUUUAAAAAAGUCAUAACUUUUAAAACGAAGAUAUACAUUAAAUUUCGAUUGCACCAUUAAAUUUCUCAUAACAAAUCCUUCAAAACAAGAUCACACAUGGAUAUAUUUAAAUAAAAUUUUAUUAAUAAAUAUUUAUCUCUACAACUAAAAAUUAUGGAGAUGACCCAUCCACAACUUCCAUCCCUUUGGUGGUCUUUUUUACUGUGCGAUGACACGCUAUCCCAUCAACCUAAGCCCCACUCACCUAUGCAUGCAAAAUUGUUUUAGCGAAUUCAAAAAAGUCAUAACUCCUAAACUAGAGAUAUAAAUUAAAUUCUCAUUACACCAUUAAAUUUUUUAUAACAAAUCCUUCAAAACAAGAUCACACAUGGAUAUAUUUAGAUAAAAUUUUAUUAAUGAAUAUUUAUCUUAUAAAGAUAAAAUAUUUUCUUUUAUUAAGUAGAAACAAUAUUCUAGGUUCAACUAACAAUGUUCUGUCUUUGUAAAAAAAAUAUUAUCGAUUUAGAAGAAUAAUAUUUGGGUUUUAGGUUUAUGAAAUUGAUAUUACAAUAUACAUAAAAAUACAUAAAUACAUGACAUGGAUAAAAACAAUAAAAAAACUAGAGUAAAAAGCAUAAGAACAAAAAUAAAAACACAAAAUGGAGAAAAAUUUCAAAAAAUAUCAAAGGGUUACUUUUCGAAUGUAGUAAAUAUAUUUAUAGACCAUUAACAUCACUAAAUACAUCAUAGAAUAUCAUUAAAUAUAUUAUAGAACAUCACAUCUAUUAUAGAUUACAUGUAUACUAAGUGAACACUAUAAGAAACAUCAUAGAACAUCACAUAUAUACUUCGUAAACAUGACAUAACACAACACAGAACACUAAAUAUAUACUACAUAAAUAUCACAUAUAUAUAGAAAAUAAAAAUAAAAAAUAAAAUUACUAUGAAAAAAAUAUAAAAACAAACAUAAUUAACAAAUGAUAAAAAGUGCAUAGAGCAAAUAAAAUUAAUGAAUAAUUUAAAUAAGGAUAAAAAUAAGAUUAAAAGGAAAUAAAAUAUAAAAUAAGAAUGAAGAAACAUAGAAAAACUGAAAAGAAAAAAGAAAAACAAAUAGAAGCAAGAAAGAACAAUAAAAAUAAAACCAAAAGAAAAAUAAAAUUAAAGGUAAAAUUAAAACAAGAAAAGAAUGAGGAAAGGACAAAAAAUAAAAUAAAAUAAAAUCUAAAAACAAAAACUGAAAGAAUGAAAAAGGAAGAAUAUAGAUAGAAAAAAUAAAAUAACAAUCAAGAAAUAUAGAGUAUGUGGAUUUUAAAAUCCGUAACAACGUACGGGCAUUAACCUAGUAUACUAAAGCAAAUAAAGGUAGCAUGAGAGCAUUUAUAGAGAUCUACUCAAGUGGAGAUGAAGUAGUGUGAUUAGUAUUUAACAAAUUGAGCAUGUCUCAAAGGUAGGGACAACCAACAUAGCAACAUAGCAAAGGAUGUUUUUAUGUAAAGUACUCCCCCAAGCUUGAAUUUUGCAAAAUUCAAGUUUGGAUUUAAUUCAAUGUUGUAUGAUGAUUGGUUGGACAUACCUUGCGCUUGUCAUUCAUCCAAUCUUCUUGCUCCAAUCCUAAAAAGGUUAGUGACAAGAAUACCCGAAGGAAUAUUUUUUACAAUUAUCCUUAUAUACUCAAUACACAAGGUAAUGUUGUAAAAAAGCUCAUGUUACGAUCUGAUCAGUGCUUAAUUUAGGACACUAAGCUUGUCCUUGUGAAACCAUCAAUUUAUGUCGGCGAAGUGGUUUCCCUUCCAACGCUAACCUAUAUCAACAUCAACUCAACGAGAUCUGCAAUAUUUAUUAUAGACAUAUGCAUCGACAACCGCCCUUUUAAAGUUUUUGUAAAUAGAAAGGAAGAGGGGUCAGAUAUCUCAAAUGUGGUGAUGUUGGAGAAACCAAUAGAUUGGGAAGAUGUUGCAUAUGAGCAUGGAAUAAACGAAGUGGCUUUGAAAUAAAUUCCAUGCUCAUUAAUGUUAUCUUCAUCUCC